Molecule: long non-coding RNA, 60682 nt
Filed under: Coffea arabica (coffee)
Lineage: Eukaryota; Viridiplantae; Streptophyta; Magnoliopsida; Gentianales; Rubiaceae
Description: long non-coding RNA (CARA_LNC001154)
Source: RNAcentral
GUAAAGCAUUUCAAGUAAAUCAAAGUAUCAUUGAGCUCAUUAAGUCUAGGUUUGCAACUGUGUCGACUGUGUCGACCGUGCUUAAGUCAUCUUACUAACAUCCUAUUCCAGGGUGUUGUUCAUUAUAGUUGGCAUAUUAAAUAAUAAAAUCUUCUAUAUUAUCGUUUAAUUGUAUUUUGGUCAAGUUAAUUUUUAGUAGUUUUAUUGGCGUCAAAUUAGGAUAGUUUUACUAUUUAGAAACUAGUAUUGUAUUAAAUAAUUUCCUAUGCUUGUCAGUAGUCAUGAUAUGUAUUUGGUUGGAAACAAUAAAAGUUUGAGUCUUGUCAUUGAUAUUAGUCCUCUUCAUGUAAAUUAGCCUCCAUAUAUAUAUAUAUUGGUUUUGUGAAAGUUAUCUCCUAUAAUUUUUUUUUGGAUAUAAUUAUUAGGCUCUACAUCUGGUAUCGAAUCCUAUUUGCAUGAAAUUAAUCUUUGGGUGAGUUGUCAGAGUUAGGACACAAGAAUUGCCGGGACUGUUCAAUUGAUCACGUAAGGGCCAUUAUGUUGGUUUUGGAGUAUUUAAUUGGUCAAAAUUUGGCCAUAAAAUUGGUGUGAAAAUUAUUAACUUGAUUGUGGAUAUUGCUAAUGGUGACAGUUUUUGACAUGGUAAGUAAACAAACACAACACAAAAAAAAAAAAAAAAGUAAACACAACACAAAAAAAUCCUAAAUGAAACAAUACACGGAAUAAUUUAUGUCAAAAAUGGAUCCAGCGCGAACAUGACGCGCAACAGAAUGGGUUGUAUUGGGCCAAUCCGUAGGUUGAUAUGACUAACAUGUUUUUGACACGUUAAGAAUUUUGAAAAAAUGCUACUCGUUUCCCUCCUAAUACUACACUUAAAAAAAUGGUUUUGUAUUAAGUUUUAUAGUUUAAGAACUAAAAUAAUAUAAUCAACCUACUAUAAGAAUACAUAAAAACACAUAAAUCGAGACUCUACAAAUUCACAUAUGCAACUGUUAUGAUUUUAAUUUUUUGCUUCCUUCCUUUAAUAUUCUUAUUUUCUCAAAUUGAUAAGCAUAAACAACCUCUAUGAUUUUAACUUUUCACUUCCGCCUUCACUCUUCAAAUUGAUCGAAACUUACCUUUAGAUCAAAAUUGCUCAAUUUUUCUUCCUUUCUUGUGAUUAAAUAUCUUUUCUAGGUAAUCUUUAAUAUUUCGGCAAAUUUAAUUUCUAUCAUUUUUGUCUAUUUUAUUUGAGCAUUUUCUAGUUUAUACUGCUCCUCUAUUUUAUCAUUUUCCCUAUCAUUUUCUUUCUAAAGUUUUUCUUUCUUGUGAAAGAAAAAUAAAAUAGGCUUUUUUCUGUAUAUUAUUAAUGAGAUAAUCAUGCAUCCAAAACUUAUACAAGUAAAAAUCCAAUGACAGGCUACAGCUAAAUUAGAUUAAGAGAAUAUUACAUAUUUUUUGAAAGAGAACCAUGUUUUAUUUUUCGGCAAUAUUUCUCCUAUAAUUUUGAUAUAAAAAGUUAAAUGAGUCAAUUGGGCCAAAACAUGAGAUGAACCUGUCCAAAUGUAUGGAGUAUUGCAGCAACAAAUCUUUUUGAAGAUUAAGAAUUCAAAUUUAUAUUAAUGAAAUUUACAAAUGAGAUUAUUAUUGCUGAACUUGAUUCAAUAGAGAGUUUGAUUUAAGGGAAACAAUGUUGGCAUAUUAAAUUAAAGCUAAAAAUUUGAAUUUCUAUACUAUUAUUUAGUAGUAUUUUGGUCACAAAUUUUUUUAGUAGUUCUAGAGAGCUAAGAAAUGGUAGUAUAUUAAGAAUUGGAGGCUCUAGGACAUAGAGGUUCUGGGUUCAAAUCUCCAUUCCUCCUCCCAUUUCUUAAAUCCUAUCCCUCCCCUUGAUUAGAAAAAGUUAAAAUAAUUAUUUAGAAAUUGGUACUGUAUUAGAUAAUUAUUGUAGCUAUCAAUACUUGUUAUCAAAUCAUGUAAUCUGUAAGUAGAGUCAUAUUACCAUACCACUUGAGAAGAUUGGAAGUUUAAUAGCCUUGUUGUUGUGGUGUUAUUAAUAUUUUAUUAUUAAUAUCAUUGUUCUUUUCUCACAUAUAUGUGUAUAUGUGUAAAUUAGCCUCCCAUAUAUAUUGGGUUUGUGGAAUUUAUCUCUCAUAAUGAUCUUUUGACUAUAAUUGUCACGCCUCGUGCCUAGAACGUAGCACCACACACGCCAUAGACAAUGCUAAAGGCGUAAGGCAACAAAUUUCCAAAAGCAACUACAUUUACCUUUAUAUAAACUUUUUAAAUCCGCAAAUACAAGAUCAUCUAUAUAACAGCAAUUUUGUGUCUUCCAAAAUAAAAGCAAGAUCAAACCUUCUACAAUAUGUACAAAAUUCAAAUCCUAUCAUAAGGUAUCUUAUAUAUAAGUACAAAAGUCAUCCUCUAACCCAAAGUCAUCUCCAUCUCCAUUACAACCCCCAAGAGCUAUCAAGGUCUACUUCAAUGAACUCAUCAUUAACUGCAUAAUUAUAACAAAGGGGUGAGCAAAAUCUCACUCAAUAAGUAGUGCAUGUAUCUCAUUAUUUGCCUGAGCAAUGUUACAUACAUAAUAUAUAUUUCAAACGUCAUUAACUUACACAUAUAACUUUAUAAGAACAUGGUUGCUAUAAACAUUUCAACGGCAUAUCAUACAUCACACACACAAAAGGAGCUCAAACCAUAAGACAACAAUUGACCCAGGAUAUCCAGUUGUUAACUUAAACUUAACCAGUUAACACAGUUCAUAGUGCUAACUACCACAUAGUUAGCCCAUUUCAUAUUGCUCACUACAACAUGGAUAGCUCGGUUCAUAUACCAACUACUUGUGAGGAACUAGUCCUAUCAAAAGUCGCUUAUACAAGAGCUCAACAAACAUAACAUUUCAUUUCACAAAUGACCAUGGCAAGAGUAAUAACAAAUAUCACAAAAUUAUACUUGCUCAUGCCAUUUUAGCAAUUAGACAAGUAGCUUUCAAAAUUUAUCAUUCAAAAGAUAAAGGAUACAUGCACCAGUUACCUCGAUCCAAUCGAUACCCACGCUAUUUCAAGUAAUCGGAAAAAUAGCUACCUUCUCACCUAGACAUAAUGAUAAAAUGUUCAAUUACAAUCUUAAAGAUACCAAACUACUCCAAAUUAUCAUAAAAACGAGCCUAAUACUACCCUUAACCACUAAUUCCUAAUAAAAGAUCAUUUCCUCAUCAAAGUAGGACAUAAGGGUUUACUUUAAAGGGUCACUAACUUCCAAAAAUACAGAAAUGGUCAAGAGAUUUAUAUAGAGUUAAAGCCCUCUGAAUCUAGUUUCCAACGCAAUAAACGGCACCUAAAUCCGAAUUUUCUACACCAAGUUAUAUCCAAAGCAUUGAAAUAUGUCUAUACAGAAAAUUCAAUCUGUCCGAGAAUUAUAGCCAAUCCAUCCGAGGAUUUUAGCCAAUUCGUUCGAGGAUUAUAGCCAUGGAUUUCUAGCAAGUUUUCAAGGCAAAAACAAGUCAUUCUUUCCCUCAACAUUUCUCCUUUUUAUAUUGAUGAUAGCCCUAUAUACCCAUUUGAAAAUGGAGACCAAAACAAACUCCAUACACCAUAGCCAUGGAAGCUAACCAAGGAUUUGAACCAAAUACUACCCAAUCACCCAAUCAAAGAAAACCAAGAUCAUGUUCAAGGUUUCAAGAAAAUACCUUGGUUAGUCGUCAAAGUAGAAUCUCCUAACUCCUCACUCCUUAUUGUGCUUGAUUUGUCAAGAAUCCUCCUUGAUUGUAAGGAAAAAGGAGAGAAAUAAGAAAGGGUUUUGUUGGAGAAGGAAGGAAAAAAGGAAAUGAAGAAGAUGAAGAAAGUUUUUGGUAAAAAUGAAUAGUGAAAUCCCAAUAUCACUUUUAUUCUUUCAAAAUUUCACAUAUUAACACAUUGGUCACUCAACUUAACGUCAUUCACUUUUCACCCCAAAAUAGUAUUUCUUCACACAAAAUUCUCUACAAGACACUUGGGUAUCACAUUCUCCCCCUCUAAUAAAAGUUUUGGCCUCGAAAUUUAACGUACCUCGUUGGUUAAACAAAUGUGAAUACUUAGUUCGCAUUUCCUCUUCGAGUUCCCAAGGCUUCACGAGUACUAUGAUUGGACCAUUGAACUUUAACAUAGGGAAUUGUCCUUCUUCUUAGCACUUGAUCUUUACAACCCACAAUUCGAAUUGGCUUCUCACUAUAAGUUUGAUCCUCUCAUACCAUUAAUGGCUCAUACUCCAGGAUAUAACUUGGAUUAAAUACAUAUUUUCUCAAUUGCAAAACAUGAAAUACAUUGUGAACUCUUGAUAAAGAUGGUGGCAAGGCUAACUUGUAUGCCAAUUCUCCAACUCUAUCCAAAAUUUCAAAAAGCCCAACAUAUCUUGCACUCAGUUUUCCACGUUUCCCAAAUUGCAUGACACCCUUCAUUGGUGAAAUUCUAAGAUAUAAUUUAUCCUCUUCUUGAAACUCUAAUGGUCUUCUUUUCAAAUCGGCCCAACUCUUUUGUCUAUCUUGUGCUGUUUUCAACCUUUCUCUCACUAGUGCCAUCUUCUUGAUUGUAGCUUGUACAAGUUCGGAUCCAGUAAUGAUCCUUUCACCUACCUCAUCCCAAUAUAAGGGCAAUUUACACUUCCUCCCAUAUAGAGCUUCAAAAGCUAGCAUGCCGAUACUACUAUGAUAACUGUUAGUGUAAGAGAACUCACUUAGCACCAGAGAAUCCUCCCAACUGCCCCAAAAUCCAUAACACAUGCUCUAAGCAUGUCCUCCAAGGUUUGAAUUGUACGCUCUGAUUGCCCGUCAAUUUGAGGAUGAUAAGCUGAGUUGAGGUUUAACUCGGUUCCUGUGGCUUGUUAGAGACUUUUCCAAAAUCGAGAGGUGAAUCUAAGAUACGAUCAGACACAAUACUCACUGGACACUAUGAUAACGAAUAAUGCAAUCCAUACAGAGAUUAGCCAAAGUAUCCAUAGAUGCAGUAGCAACCAUAGGUACAAAAUGAGCUGAUUUUGUCAGUCGAUCAACUAUUACCAAAUGGUGUCAUUACCUCUCCUAGACUUGGUAAUCCAACAACGAAAUCCAUUGCUAUAUGCUCCCAUUUCCAUUCCGGUAUUGUCAAAGGCUUUAAUAAUCUAGCAGGUCUUUGAUGUUUGGCCUUUAUUUGUUGACAAACUAAGCAUUUAGACACAUAAUUCGCGAUCUCCCUCUUCAUACCACUCCACCAAUACGACUGCUUUAAGUCUCGAUACAUCUCAGUGUUAUUAGAAUGAAUAGAGGCUUGGGAGAAGAGCAAGCCUCCGCCAUUAUUUCUUUUCGUAACUCCGGAUCUUUAGGCACCACAAGCCGAUUCCACAUCCAUAUACUACCAUCCUUGAGUAGUUGAAAGUCGGGUAAUUCCUCACUUUUAACUUUUUCCUUGAUUUUUGCCAACUCAAUAUCAUCUUCUUGAGUUUCCUUGAUUCUCGAAAUUAAGGAUGGUUAGGCAACUAGAGUUGCGAGCACAUGCAUGAAGGAUUCUACCACCUCUAAAUUCAAUUCCUCCAUUUGUUUGACAGGUGCCGAACCUGUACAAUAAUAAUAAUAAAACCUAACUACCACCAAAAGCAAUCAAUAAUCAAUUCUAAGUAUUGGAGCAGGGACUCUAGGUAUGCAAUGAGUUACUUGAUUCACCUGUUGCUGAAGAGUUUGUUGAAUCCGAUAUACCAAAAUUAAUUAGCUAACUAAAUUUACUAAGUAGUAGACAAUGGCAAGCAGGGUCGUCUCCUCAGGGGCUGGAGAGAAAUUUGUUUCUUUUUAAGCCAAGACAAACGGAGGGUUUGAAAAUUAGAUGCUAAAGAAUCACUAACUAAACAAAUUAAAUGCAAAAAAUAAUUAAUUGAGAGAAAUAAUUGGAGAAACUCUAGCCAAGGGUGCACUUCAGAAAUGGUUCAUGCAACUGAUCAUCGAUUCAAAUAUAAUUCCAACAAUUAUUAAUAGAUUAGUUAUAGUUGUCAUGCACGCGAUAAACAACCAGCAUUUCCUUAAUUUCUCGAUAGUUAAGGUACAACCGUUAACUAUUUCUCUAACCAAAAAACAACCCUAGGUACGACCGUAGGAUUUAAUUUCUAGUUUGCAUUAAGAUUUAGAAAAGCCCAAUCCUAACUAACAAACACACUACGAGGGUUUGUUUAAAUUAGAUCGUAUGUUUUCCUGACAUAAACCCAAUUACGCCAGUUGCUACCGGGAUGGAGCUAAUCAAACAAUUACGGAUUCAACUACUCCCAAUUAGCAAAUUAACUAAGUGAAUAACUAAAUAUUGCGCACUAUUCAGUCAUACACAAUAGCUAUGACAAUUAAAGGCAGAAACAUACAAAUACUAAUAAAUGAAGGAAACAGUUAAAACAAUUUCGAUCUCACAGUUAUUGUUGAACCAAAUUUUCAAUUGUCUCCUUGACUAAAAGUGGUGAUUAGUUCAUCCUCAUUGAGAGUAACUCACGCAAUGCCAUCGAAGGAAAUUGCGUCAAUGUUUGACAAUAGAAGAACUACUCAGAGAAGAAGAGAGCCAAGCGGCUGCCUUCCUCCCCUUUUCUUAUUCCCUGGCCGAGUAGUAAUCACGCGGAUCCGGCUUUUGUUCUUCCUAUUUUCUAGCUUUCUAAAAACACAUUGAACUUCUCCCUCACAAUCCGUAGUAAAUGAUUCCAAAAAAAUCUCCUACUAUAGGAAAACUAACUUCCUAAAGAUAGGUACUCAAGCGCUUAAAAGUCUCCUAAACCAACCCAAUUACUAAUUAGAAACUUGGCAAAUAAUAUCAUCUUCCAGUUAUGAUGACGACUCCCACUUGGAUUAGGAUACUGCCCGCAUAGAAUCCCCGCACUCCAGACUUGAUUGAUGUCUUCUCACGCGUCCACACUUACUUGGAGGAAAAUCUUCUAAAAACUGUUAUUUCUGCACUUUCUUUCUCCAAUUGGCUAAACAUCCCCUAAACAUAAAAUUCAAACAAAAUAUGUCCAUUAAUGCAAUAUCCAAUCCAAUAAGAAAAGGAAAUUAUAAGAAAAUUAAUGCUAAAUUAGCGUUCUAUCAUUGUUUUACUAACAUAACUGCUAUCAUUCCUGAAUUUUUCCUGCUCAAAGCAUCAGCAACCUUGUUUGCUUUUUCUGGAUGAUAACUAAUGGUAAGAUCAUAAUCUUUCAUUAACUCAAGCCAUCUUCGUUGUCUCAUGUUUAGCUCUUUCUGCGUGAACAAAUACUUUACGCUUUUAUGAUCUGUAAAGACUUCACAUUGCUCCCCAUACAAGUAGUGCCUCUAAAUCUUCAAGGCAAAAACAACGCCUGCCAAUUGCAAAUCAUGUGUAGGAUAGUUUGUUCAUACCGCUUCAAUUGACAAGAUGCAUAAGCUAUGACCUUCUCAUUUUGCAUUAGCACACAUCCCAACCCAUUUUUGGAUGUAUCGCUAUAAAUAGUGAAACCUCCAGAUCUAGAAGGUAAGGUGAGAACUGGUGCCGAAACAAGCUUAUUCUUUAAUUCUUGAAAACUAUUUAACAUUUAGGUGUCCACUCAAACUUAACAUGCUUUUGAGUUAAACAACUCAAGGACAAAGCAAUAGUAGAAAAUCCUUCAACAAAAUUUCUAUAGUAGCCAACUAAGCUCAGAAAACUCCUCAAUUCUACCACAUCAGUAGGUCGGGACAAUCCACAAUAGAUUCUAUCUUCUUAGGAUCCACAAAGACACCAUCUUGAGAAAUAACAUGCCCAAGGAAGGACACACUUUGAAGCCAAAAUUCACAUUUGUUGAGUUUUGUAUAAAGUUUCUCACGCCUCAAGAUUUGUAAAACAUCUCGCAGGUGAUUUUCGUGCUCUGCUUCACUUGGGAGUACACCAAUAUAUCAUCAAUGAACACCACCACAAAUCGGUCUAAUUGCUUUUUGAAUAUCCUAUUCAUCAAAUCCAUAAAGGCUGCAGGAGCAUUAGUCAACCCUAAAGGCAUGACGAGAAAUUCAUAAUGGCCAUACCUUAUUCUAAAUGCACUCUUUGGAAUAUCUUGCAGUUUAAUCCUUAAUUGAUGGUAUCUGUAAUGAAGAUCGAUUUUUGAAAAACCUUAGCCCUUUUAAAUUGAUCAAACAGGUCGUCAAUACGAGGCAAUGGAUACUUGUUCUUGAUCAUAAUUUUAUUGAGCUCCCAAUAAUCAAUGCACAAUUGCAUACUUCCAUCCUUCUUCUCUACAAAUAAAACUGAUGCACCCCAAGGGGAUACACUUGGUCGAAUCAAUUUCUUGUCAAGCAACUCCUGAACUUGAACUUUAAGCUCCUUCAACUCUGUGGGGGCCAUCCGAUAGGGUGCCUUAGAUAUAGGUUCUAAGUUGAGUAUUACAUUAAUCUCAAAAUCAAUUUCUCUCUUGGGAGGUAGACCUAAUAAGUCAUUUGAAAACACAUCUGAAAAUUCUCUUGCAAUUGGGAUAUCCUCAAGUUUUAUCUCUUUCUUACUAGAGUCUACUAUAUAAGUCAAAAACAUUCACAUCCUUCCUAAUUGCUCUCCAAGUUUGUAUGGCAGAUAAAAUGGGUAGAGACUUCUUCUUUGGUUUUCCUCAACACCCUUGAAAAGAAAAAUGUGGAAUGUUUGGGGUUUAAAAAUCAACACUUUUACCCAUACAAUCUAUAUGGCAUAAUUUUGUGAUAGCCAAUCCAUACCUAAGAUAGCAUCAAAUUAUAUUCAAUUGCACUAGAUUUGCCUUAAACUCUCUCCCACUAAAUCUAAAGUAUAACCUUCAUACAUAAGGUGAGAAACUAAAACUUUUCCCCGGGAAUGGCUACACGAUACGGGUCAUCCAAAACACAGGGUUUAAUAUCUAACUCUCAUGCAAACUUCUUUGAAAUGAAAGAAUGGCAAGCCCCACAACCAAAUAACACAUCCGCUGGAAGAGAAUUAAUCAUUUCCAUACUUGUCACAACAUCCUCUACUCCUGCUGCUUCUUGUUCAGUCACCUUAGAGAUUGUGUAAGGUCGAUCUGCACUAGAAUUCAAGCUAUUUCCUAGCCUAUUGUUGCCUCUAGUUUGCUUAGAAUUCGGGCAAUUACUCACUUUAUGCCCCAUUUCUCCACAACUAAAACAAGCUCCCGUUUUCCACCUGCAUUCUCCGAAUGAACCCGAUGACAAUAAUCACACAACUUAGAUGGGUUAGUAGGUAGAUACCUUGGAAAAGGUUGUUGAGAAGAAUUAGCCUAUUGCGAAACUAUAGGUCUUGGUAACGGUGCUUGUCGGGGAGGUUGCAUUGGUCGAAGAGGUUGCAUUACACGAGAAGGCUGACCAUGUUGACGAAGUUGGCCUUGCAUUACGAUUUAUCUAUUUCUCCUUUGUCUCGUCUCUUCAUCCUCCUGAAGAAUGUCUUGUUCAACAUCUAAACUAGCUUCAUACAUUUGGUCACAAUUGGCAUAGAAAUUUUCAGAUAUUUUUGAUUGAAUCUGACUAUUCAAUCCUCCCUUAAAGGAGACCAUCUUCACAGUCUCAUCGCCAUUGUAGAAGGGACGAAGCAUCCCAAGGAGAGAAAAAUAGUGUAGUACUCACCCACAGACAUGGAACCUUGAUUAAGGUUAUUGAAUAUUCGAAUAUUUUGAACUCGAAUAGCUGGUGGAAAGUAAUGCUGUAGAAACAUCUUUUUGAACUCAUCCCAUGUCAAAGUACAACCUGAAGAAACCAUGGUCAGGGCUACACCAUCCCACCAUUUCUCUGCUUCACCAAGAAAGAUGUCACUACUUGAGGUCGAAUAUCUUCUGGCACCAUCAUAGUUUGGAAUUUGUUCUCAAUUUGGGAUAACAUCUCUCUGCCACAUUCAAGUUUGGACCUCCAUCAAAAGUAGGCAAAUAGACCUUGCUAAGCUCCUUGAAAUGGUACUUAACACUAACCCAUAUCUUGCUCUCUUUCUUCUUGUUGUUGUUGUUGAUAUUGCUGCCAUCCAUGCAUGAACUAAUAUGCCACAGAUAAGGUAGUUGGAUCUAAUUUUAUUAUGACACCCAAACUUUUGCAUUUUAGCCCCAUCUGUGGUAAACUAAUUUCAUUAACUCUACCAUGACAUCUAAUCUUUUAUAAUUUAGUCUCGUAUAUGAUAAAUCGAUAUCAUUAAUUCUAUUAUGGCACCCUAUCCUUUGUACUUUAUCCUAUGUUUUUUUCAUUAGCAAAAUGCGGAAGGUAUUGUAAUAAAAAAAUGUAUAUAUAUUUUAUAAUUGAUCCAAAUUUAGUUAAUAACUUGGUAUUAAAGUUAAAAAUAUCAUGGAUUCCCUAUCCAGUUCUCUUGACAACACCUAGAAAAUUAUUGAUUAGCAUAGUAGGAAAACAAUGGCAAAGAAUUUUAAUAUGAAAUUAAGUAAAGCCUUGACAAUUGGAUGGCUAGAGUUUAUUAUUAAUUACACUAGUCACAUUGUUUAUGGUUUAUGAAUCAGUACUUGUACUAAAUACAUUUAGUGUUUCAUGCAUGUAUUAGCAAACUAUUUUGGUUAUUUGAUCAACUAAACAUAUUGUUAGGUCUUGUCAGACCAUAAUUCGUACAUAAUUGACAAAAUUAUUAAAUUAAAACAAAAAAUAUUUACAUUAAAAGAUUUUUUUUGAAUCAUAAACAUAUUUUUAAUAAGCUUUUUAGUUUUUGAACAUUAUUUUUUUGUAGAGAUAAAAAAACCUAUGUUAGUAAAAAAAAUUAUCAAAAAACACUAAAUUUUCAUAUUCUAAAAUUUUAAUACAACAAAUAAAGUUUUAAUAUAACUUGUGAGAUAAAACUCAAAAUAAUAACCAAUUUUAAUUACACAGAGAUGGGGGAAAAAAGAGAGAUAUUAGAGAAGGCAUUGUUUUUGUAAAGAAAGGUCCAAAUAGUUUGUAUAAAAGUCACUUGAAAGUGUUAUUUUUUGGCUGAAGCUAAAAUGGAAGCGGGAAUUGAAAAUUGAAAGAGUAGAGGCGGGUGAACAAAAGAAGCAGAAACGACGUCAUUUUAGCAAGAGUUAAACAAAAACACUCAUAACACUUAGAAAAAUUUCGGACAAAACUUGCUUUCCCCCUUCUUGCCAACUUCGGACACUACAUCUUCUCCUUCUCUCCAUUAUCAUCUUGCUGAAAUUAUCCAGAAAAUCAUUUUAACCCAUCAUUUUCAUCCGUAAUUUGAGCUACCCAAAAGAUUUGGGCAGCUUUAGUGGAGUUGUAGAUAGCAAAAAUCCUAACUCGGGUAGCACUUGCUUGCUGGCAAGAACACAGAAAAUUGACCAUGAAUUUUUGGGGAAAGCCAAAGUUUGAAGACUGAAUCUUAAGGAAACAAGAGCUAAGGUUGUCACAGCAUAAUUUGAGGUAAAUAAUCUGUUACAUUUUUCCAUCUAGUUUCGAUAUUUUCUGUCAAAUGUAGGUCGAGUGAGCUGAAUCUUGAGUUUAUGGGCCCAAUCUUCCACUUUAAUCUUUCAAUGGUGAGAGAUUGAGAGAGUUUUGAAAGUGAAACAAAGUGAAGGGAAGCUAUCCUUUGUGAACUGUCCAGACCCCCUGAGAAAAUUCAUGUUUGAAUUUUGGAUGUGGAAAUUUUACUUGUAGCGAACUAUUUUUCUGAGUUUGAUAUGUUAAAAAUUGAAACAUUUUUGUGUAGUUGAUAGCGAUUUAUUAUAAUUGUUGGAGAAAGUUAAUAACAUGUGCUGUUUUUUAUGUAAUUUUUCAAUUCUAAUUCUAUUUGUAAGAGUAGCUACAUAUUAUAAUGGCUUACAUACAACUGAUUUUGAGGUAAUAGAGCUUUAAUAUUCUAUAAGUCAAGUAUCCUUUUGGGAGCCAAUUCGAUAUUUAGUUUCUAAGACCUUAGAAGAAAUUUUGAUCAGUUUGGCGACUUCUAGAUAUUGAGGGAAUGAGAAGCUAUGCAAAGUGAGUGGAUUAUCUUGUUGGUAAGUGGAAGUGAGGCAGAUUGUAUAAUCUUAACUUGUGGCCUUUGACUUUAGAAGUUAACUGUAUAAACUUACCAUUACCACACACUAAUUAGACAUUGUUUACUCUGAUGUGGAGAAACAAACUCCUAAAUUGAUAAAUUCAUGUUAUUGUUAUGUUAUGAUUGUUUUAUUGCGCAUUAUGGGUUAGUGUUGCAGUAGAGUUUACUAUGGCUUUUUAAGAUUCCUCCCUAUUGAAUUAUAGUUUUUGACCUGGAUUUACCAACUGAACGUGAAAGAUUCUGCAACAAAUAAAUGUUGGCUUUGGAGUAGAAGAGCAUUGUUGUCCACCCUGUAGUUGUAUUUGUUAGAGAAGUUAUUAAGGGGACCAAGAAUAAUGCCAAUCUGUAAUGGCUUAUACAGUUAAAUAAGCCAUUAUGAAUAAAGUAUUAGUUUAGCCAUUACAAAUUGUAAUGUCAUCUACACAUUAAUGCUUUUGCAUUGUAAUGAGAAAGUGGACUCUAUUUUGAAAAUUAUGCACUAUGUUUAAGUUUGGAGCAGCAUUAACUCAUUAUUCUGCGGCAAAUGUCUUAUACAUUUGCACGGGUAAUUAGCUCUUCAAUGCAUGUUUACUUGCUAUGCAGAGACAUUUUCACUCUGAAAUGCAACCUAAUCUGUGAUGUUUGCUUGUAAGAGAGGUGCUGCAUGUUUAUUUGGAGAGUAUAGUGCUCAAACUCGCUCAAACGAUGACAAAUGAUAGUAGUGGUGUUUCUGACAUAAUACAUGUAAGUGUACUUUGAAACUUCUUAUUAAUUAACUCUAAAGAUUUUGAAGCUAUUCUGUGGCAUGUCAUCUUAGACAAGUGUGUGUUUGACUUUGAUAUGAUUCAUAGCCUCCAAAAGAUGUGGAUUCCAAUUUGGUCUGGUUUGUUGGAGUCUCAAGAUUCUCCUAACUUCAACUUUUAUUUCUUUCCCUUUUUUCUUUGGCUUCUUUAUAGGGAAUUUUUUUGUAAAGUUAUUUUAUUGAGCAACCAAGUUAAUGCCGCAUCAAAGAUUUCAUUGGCAAGUUACUUAUUAAGUUACUAGCAAGCAUAACUGUGGCGUUGCGCGGUGGAUUAGAUAGCAUGUAUGCCAUUUAGGUAUGAAUAAAUAGACAUUACAUGAAUAGUGAUAAUGUCACGGAAUUAAACAUCUUUUUUUUCAAUACGGAAUUAAAUACCUUGUGGUUACAUUAUCUAGUUUUAUUUGUUUAGAUCCAUAUACCGCGCUAAUUAAUCAUUAAUAUAUCCAUGAACGUGUAGAAGAAGGUAAGCAUUUAAUCCAAUUAAAAUUUAAUAAUAAUAUAAAAACAAUAUAGAAAGCAAUAUAACUUUGGAGAUCAAGAAUGUAAAUUUAAAAUUUAUGAUAGACAGAACAAGGGGUAGAAAUUGGAACUCAAAACAAGGUUAAUCUAUUUAAGGCAUUUAGAAGUACCAAACCAGAAAUUGGCACAUUGCAUCGGACAAAAGCAAUUGCAUUAAUGAUUUGGAGUCUACUUACAUAAUAUUUAGAUCCUGAACAGGCAAUGCUAAGGGUACAUAAUUUCUAUAUGUUAAUCUCAGUUCUUAGCUUUUGAUGAUUACAAAACAAAUGGAUGUUGCUAAUAUCUCCUCAAAAACCUUUUUAGAAAUGAAGCAAAUUAGGUUCAAAGAUGAACCUGUUGCUGAAGCUGUCGGACACACAAAAAAACUGGAUCAGAUGUUCGACAAUCAUUGAACAACUUCGGACGUAUGAGGAACUCCAUUACCGGACAUCCGAAAGAAAUCAAACACCUCCUUAAGCUCACUGACCUCGAUCGGACGCAGAACAUUAAAGCACCGGACGUCCGCAGAAUUGAAGAAGGAUUCUCAAACAUUACCAUCUGCUUUCGGGCGCAAACACUUUGGAGGUACCGGACGUCCGAAAGAAUUAAAGAAAUUUUUCUUGCUCUCUGCCUGCUGUCGGACACAAGAAACAAGACUACCGAAUGUCCGACACUACCAACGGUUAGUUGAUUUUUCAGCUACCUUCUAUUCGUUAGAAGCUUUAAUGAAGGAAUUUUUUGGUCUCCUAUCAAUAGAGCAAAGUCAACCACUUCAAAUUACUUUUGCACAUUGAAACUACAAAAGAUCGAGAGCAAUUUUAGUGAGAAAAUUCUCUUCAAAGAAGAUUUGUACUCUUAGUUGUGUAGAUUUCGUACAAGCUUUUCUUGUGUGAGAAAAUUACUUCAAUAGUGUAGCUUUGUGAGGGUUAUCCGAGUGAUAAUAAAACUUGCUAACUUGAUCAAGUGUGGUUUGGAGCAAGGAGAAAGUGAUCCUUUUUUUCUGCACAUAGAUUAGUUGUAAUUGAUUAACUUGAAGAAACUUACUCUAUAAAGUGAUAUUCAAACUCAAGAGGAGAUUGAAAUUUGGUUUGCUAUUCUAUCUCUUUUAUUUACUAUACUGCCAAUAUAAAUUGUUCAUCUCUUCUACUCACAGACAUUUGUACUUUCUCAUUAUUUGUUCCAUUGUAUGGUCAUCUAGAAAGAGGGUAAAUUUCAUAUUCAAUCAAAAAGUGUCUCAUAAUUUGGUUAUUUUGUAAUUUACCUAAUUCACCCCCGUCUUACGUUGUUUUCGAUCCUUACAAUUGUAUCAGAGUUUGGUCUCCUAGAGAUUAAGCUAAUCGACUUUGGAAUAAAAAUGACAACCAACAAUGCCAUGUUUUUUGAAGGAUAAUCUGUCACUAGACCCCCAAUGUUUAAUGGAUCCAAUUAUGUGAAUUGGAAGGAAAGAAUGAUUAUAUUCUUGCAAUCUAUUGAUAUUGAACUAUGGUUUAUUGUUAAUGAAGGUUCAUUUGAAUAACUCUACAAUUGAUGAAGCCACUCAUAGACUAAAACCAAAAUCAGAAAUGAGUUGACUGCUGAGAAUAGAUCUCAUCUCACCUUGAAUACCAAAGGUAUGAAUGUGUUGUAUAGUGCUUUAGAUUCAAAUGAGUCUAUUAGAGUCAAAGGUUGCCGAUCUGCAAAAGAAAUUUGGGAUAAACUAAGAGAGAUCCAUGAAGGAAGUGAGAAUGUAAGAGAAAAUAAAAGAAAUCAAUCCUAGUUACUAAGUAUGAAUCAUUUAAGAUGGAACCUUAUGAAAACAUUGAUAAGAUGUAUUGUAAAUUCAAUGAUCUCAUUAAAGACUUAGAUCGGUGCUGGAAAAUGAAUACACCUUAGGUCGAGAAAAAAUAGAAAGAUUUUGAAUGCACUGACCAAAGAUUGGGAGAGUAAAGUGACUUCCAUUGAAAAAGCUAAAGAUCUAAAUACUAUGUCUAUUGAAUCUCUCAUUAAUUCUCUAAUUUCUUAUGAGUUGAACCUUAAGUCUAAGGUACAAGAGGAGGAAGAUGCAAAAGUGAGAAGAAGCAUUGCUCUAAAGACUUCUCAAGAUGAAGAUGAUUCAACUUCCUUAGAUGGAGAUAAUGUAGAAGUUGAUGACAAUGAUCUUGCUCUUAUCACAAGGAGUUUUAAAAGAAUCCUCAACAAAAGGAGAUUUAGAAGAGGAGGACCUAGCAAUACAUUUUCUAAUCAGUUCAAUAAUUCAAGAAACAAAGGAAAAUAAGAGACUAAUAAAAAGCAAGUAGACAAAUGCUUUGAAUGCGGCCAACUUGGACACUACAUGAGUGAGUGUCCAAUGAAGAAGAAGAAAGAAGGAAAAGUUGAACGAAAACCAAAGUUCAACAACUUUCAAAUUACAUGGAAUGAUUGUAACUCAGAUGGUGAUAUCGAAGAGAAAGAGAAUCUGCUCAAAUGGCUUUCAUGGCCAUUGGUGAUGAUGAGGUAACUACUUGCAACUGUCAACCUGUUAGUGAUGAUGAAUCUAAAGAUGAUGUUGAGUCUUUCAUUGAGAGAUUGCAUAAUAGCUUAAAAGAAUCGUAUGCUAGAAACAAGGAACUAAAAUAGAAAAUUAAUUUUUUGAUUCAAAACAAUGCAAAUCUUUUUCGACAAAAUAAAAUGCGGAAAGCUGAAAAUGACUGCUUGAAACAGGAUGAAAAUGUUCUACUUUUUGAGCUUGAUAGAAAAACAAAGCUGUGUGAGUUGUUCAAAAAGGAACAAGGUGACUUAAAAAGAAGAAUGGAUGGCCUAGAUAAAUUGCUUAAACAUAAGAAACAAGACUGCUUUCAAAAGAGUGAAUCAAAACCUCACUUUGACAUUCACAAGAAAAGGUUGAACUCUAAUGCAAACGAAUUUAACAUCUAUAAAAGAAGGUAAGCUAGAUUUAUUAAACCUGUCUUUGUAGGAAACUCACUGACUAUGUGUAGCUUUUGUUGCCAAGUUGGUCACAUGAAAAAUAAUUACUAUGUAAGAAAGAAUAUGAGAAAUGACAUGAAAUGCAUGUGGAUAGUUAGACAUAAUGUUAACUCUCAAGGACCCAAAAAGUAGUUGGGUACCAAAUAUAUCUUGUGAACUUUUGUGUAGGUGAGAUUGGUGAAUGUUAUUAAGGAAUCAAAAUUGUUCAUAGAUAGUAGAUGCUUAAGGCAUAUGAUUGGUGAUCCCUCACAGUUCAUCAAACUCAAGUCAAAAUCAAGUGGAAAAGUAACAUUUGGACAUGAUAACAAACCAAAACAGUUGGAGUUAGAGAUGUUGGUAAGAAUGACCAAACUUUUGUUCACAAUGCUCUUCUAGUUGAUAACCUGAGUUAUAAUUUGUUGAGUGUUAGUCAAUUGUGUGACAGAAAUCUGUUUGUGCUAUUUAAAAGGCAUGAAUAUCUUAUUCUUGACUCAAAAUUUAACAUUAUUUUCAAAGAAAAAAGAGUGAAUGACAUUUAUGUAGUUAUUCUAGAAAAUAUUGAUUCUUUCAUCCUAAAUGUCUUAAAACUGCAGAUGAGGAUCUUUGGUUGUAGCAUAGAAGGUUUUGUCACUUUAAUAUAAAUUUGUUAAAAAAAAUUCAAAAAAGAACUUGUUAGAAAUUUACCAAAAAUUAACUUUGAAAAAGACAAAAUUUGUGAUGCUUGUCAAAUUAGAAAACAAGUAAAAGUUUCUUCAAAUCUAAGAAUUGUGUUUCUACUUCAAAACCACUGGAUCUUUUACAUCUUGAUUUAUUUGGUCAUACACAAAUUGCUAGUUUGGGUGAUAAAAUAUAUUAUUUGAUUAUUGUUGAUGAUUAUUUUAAUACACUUGGGUGAUAUUUCUUGCUCAAAAGGAUGAUACUUUCAAAAGUUUUCUUUCAUUAUUUGCAAAAGUUCAAAAUCUGAUUGGAUUGAAAAUUAUCAAGAUUAGAAGUGAUAAUGGCUCGGAAUUUAAAUUUUGUGGUUUUCAGAAUUUUGUGAUAACAAUAGAAUCACAAUGAGUUUUCAAUUGCUAGAACUCCUCAACAAAAUGGUGUUGUUGAAAGAAAAAAUAGAACUCUUCAAGAAACCGCACGAACUUUGUUAAAGUGAAUGUAACUUACUAAAAUAUUUUUGGGUCGAAACCGUUAAUACCGCAUGUUAUGCUAUGAAUAGAGUUCUUUUGAGACAUAUUUUAAACAAAACCUCUUAUGAGUUAAUGUUUGAAAAAAGCCAAUUGUUAGUUAGUUCAAAGUUUCUGGUUGCAAAUGCUUUAUUUUAAAUAUCAAGAAACACUUUGGAAAGUUUGAUAAGAAAUCUGAUGAAGGUAUUUUUUUGGGAUAUUGUGAGAACAAAAGAGGCUUUAGAGUCUAUAAUAGAAGGACUCUUGUUAUUGAAGAAGCUAUACAUGUCACCUUUUGAUGAAUCUAAUGAUAAUAUUUUCAAAAGUAGUUGUGAGGAUGAUGAUGUAGGUGUCCAAGAAAGACUCAAGAAACUCACAAUUCAUGAUCAAAACGAUACUCCACAAGAAGAGAGCUCAAAAGAAGAUAAUCCCCAAGAUAGUCAAGCAUUAGAAGAAAAUGACAAUCAUGGUGAUGCACCUAGGAAUCUUCCAAAGGUUUGAAAGUUUGUUCAAAAUCAUCCUAAGGAAUUCAUUAUUUGGUGAUCCAUCCGAAAAGGUAAUUGUGAGAACAAAAGAGGCUUUAGAGUCUAUAAUAGAAGGACUCUUGUUAUUGAAGAAGCUAUACAUGUCACCUUUGAUGAAUCUAAUGAUAAUAUUUUCAAAAGUAGUUGUGAGGAUGAUGAUGUAGGUGUCCAAGAAAGACUCAAGAAACUCACAAUUCAUGAUCAAAACGAUACUCCACAAGAAGAGAGCUCAAAAGAAGAUAAUCCCCAAGAUAGUCAAGCAUUAGAAGAAAAUGACAAUCAUGGUGAUGCACCUAGGAAUCUUCCAAAGGUUUGAAAGUUUGUUCAAAAUCAUCCUAAGGAAUUCAUUAUUGGUGAUCCAUCCGAAAAGGUAAGAACUCGUUCCUCUUCAAAACAAUUGAUGGACAAUUUUGCUUUGGUCUCACAUUUUGAACCAAAAAUUAUUAUUGAUGCAUUGAAAGAUGAAAACUGGAUUUUAACUAUGGAAGAGGAACUAAAUCAAUUUGAAAGGAACAAGAUGUGGACAUUAGUUGAAAAAUCUCAUGAUCAUCCUAUUAUUGGCACAAAAUAGAUGUUUAGAAAUAAAAUGACUGACAAAGGUGAAGUGGUGAGAAAUAAGACUAGAUUAGUUCUUAAGAGGUAUGCUCAAGAAGAAGGAAUAGAUUUUGAUGAAACAUUUGCUCCCAUAGCAAGACUAGAAUCUAUUAGAAUGUUUUUGACAUUUGCAUGUUUCAAGAAUUUUAAAUUAUUUAAAAUGGAUAUUAAAAGUACUUUCUUAAAUAGUUUUAUUGAUCAAGAGAUAUAUGUUGAUCAACUACCCGGUUUUGAGAAUGAAAUGUUUCCAAAUCAUGUGUUUAAACUCUCAAAAACUUUGUAUGGUUUAAAACAAGCUCCAAGAGUAUGAUAUGAAUGCUUAAGUGGUUUCUUGAUUGAAAAUGAUUUUGAAAGGGGCAUUAUAAACACCACUUUUUUCACCAAACGAUGUUCCAAUGAUCUACUAAUUGUGCAAAUAUAUGUUAAUGAUAUUAACUUUGGUGCUAUUAAUGAGUAUUUGUGUAAGAAUUUUUUCAACUAUUAUGCAAAAAGAGUUUGAGAUGAGAAUAAUAGGAGAAUUGAAUUUUUUCCUUGGGUUUCAAGUGGAACAAACUCGAGAAGAAACAUUCAUUAAUCAAGCUAAAUACACCAAGGAAUUGCUCAAAAGGUUCGGUAUAGAGGAAUCAAAAUAAGUUGGAACACCAAUGUGCACAUCUAUCAAACUUGACAAGGAUAAAGGAGGUAUAAAUGUUGAUGAAAAGAAGUAUAGAGGUAUGAUUGGCAGCUUACUUUAUUUAACUGCAAGUAGACUUGAUAUCAUGUUUGCUAUUUACUUGUGUGCUGGUUUCCAAUUUUGUUCAAAAAAAUCUCACUUGCUUGCUGUGAAAACAAUUUUUAAAUAUUUGAAAAGAACAUUGAACUAUGGUCUUUGGUAUCCUAAAUGUCAUGAAUGUCCUUUAUAUGGUUUCUCGAAUGCUGACUUUGGUGGAUGUAGAAUAGAUAGAAAGAGUACUAGUAGUACAUGCCACUUUCUUGGUAAUUGUUUAGUAUUUUGGUUAAGUAAGAAAUAAACCUAUUUCAUUGUCUACGGCCGAAACGGAAUAUGUUACCACUAGUGCAUGUUAUACUCAAUCGAUGUGGAUGAAAAGUACCUUGAAUGAUUUUGAAUUAGUAUAUGAUUGUGUGCCUGUGUAUUGUGACAAUAAAAAUGCUAUAAAUUUGACAAAAAAUCUCAUUCAACAUUCUAGGAUAAAGCAUAUUGACAUAAAGCAUCAUUUCAUUAGAGAUCUCGUCCAAAAAGAUGAAAUUUGUGUGCAAUAUGUUUGUUCAAAGGAUCAAAGUACUGACAUUCUCACAAAAGCCCUUCCACUAGAUCAGUUUAUAUUUUUAAGAACAAAAUUGGGUAUUAUUGAAAAGUUUUUUUGAAAAAUUAUCUGGUCACACUUUAUCAAACGUCUGACAGUGUUCUUGAUCACUUUUCCAGAAAAUUUGGUUUUGGACGAUAAUGUCAGACGCUUCACUUCGUUCAACCGUCCAACACUCUAAAAAUGCUUGUUAUAAGUCAGUUUUCUCCUUCAUUCAGUUUAUUUUUCUAUCCGUUAUAUCAGACGCAACUUCUCAUCCUCUCCUAUUUUCAAAUUUCAAAGUUCGUCUCUCUUCUGAACAAGUUUCAAGAAAUUAAUUAGUUCAAAGCCUUUACACUCUUUUUACCCGUUCAUAACCCCUCAUAACUUCCUCUAACUGCCAACUAGUCUAUAAAUCCCAAUUCUCACCCGAAACCCUAGUCACUUAAAAGUCACUCUCUCUGGAUGAUUCAAGCCCUCAUUAUAAUUAAUACCGCACUUUUAGUCAGUCUCAUACAUAUUUUCAUCAUUCUCCAUAACAAAAACAAUCUGCAUUUCAUCAUGGUAAGAAUUAGGGAAGGAUCUGUCAGUGCAAGACGCACCACCAGGUUCAGGUUGAGGGAUGAAGAUACUGAAAUUAUUGAGCCCUCUACCACUAAAUUUCCAAAAAGGGCGACAAAAAAACAUGGUGGAAAAGGAAAAGGUUCGGCCCAAAAAAAACAUUCAGAGAAAUGGCAAACUACUUCCGCUGAGCAAACUGCAUUACCUCUUAUCAGUGAUAGUGAAGAGGAAUUGGAGCAGCUUACUAAUGUUGAUGCAUCUGUCACGAAAUCACCCAGAAAAGGGACUGAACCUCAUUGUAAAAAGGGGAAAUGGUCUGCUAAAAAGAAUGGGACAGUUCAAACUAAGGAAAGGCAAACUGCUGAUCCUUCUGUGAGCAAAUUGAGGAACAGCAGACUGUUGAGCAAAAUGCUAAGAAUCAGCAAGCUACUGAGACUUCCACCAGAAAGUCACCAAGAACAAGGUUUGGUGGACAGACCGAUAUACAUGAUACUCCACGAAAUGGAAAAAGGAAACGAACUGCCAGAGAGCAACCUGAGGCUCAGAUUGCAGAGGAAUCUACCUCAUUGCCAAAGUUCAUUGAUGAUGAUGCCCGAGAUAGGUUCGAAUGGGUUUCUCAGAAGGACUUCAUCACCCAAUGGGCAAUUAUCCCUCAUGAAUUCCGUAAGUUUGACCUUGAACCUGUCAUUAAGUUCUUUGAAUUCCAAAAAUGGAUUCAUAUUUUGACCAUUCCCAACACCUACUACCCUGACAUGUUUCAUCAAUUUUUUGUCAAUCUUAGGAAGGGUAAAUCCCAUACUGAUCUAGUCUCACGAGUAAAUUCUGUUGAUAUAGAAUUAAAUCCUGAUAUUGUCAACACUGUUAUGAAAAUCAAAAUUGAAUAUGGUUUUAAAGGAAAAAUUGCUAACUUUUUUUCAUAUGAACAAUUUCUUUCUGCCUAUAAUCACUUUCAUAUUGCAAAACUGAUAACUUAUUUUCAAACUCAUUUUAAUACUCUUACUGAGGCAAGAUUGGAAGAUCUCAAUCCUCAAAAUUUGAUCAUCUUCUCUAUAAUUUCAUCUAUUAGUUCCUACUGAUGGUUAUAGGACAGAUGCCAACAAAAUGGAGCUUUACCUGUUUUUCUGCUUUCUUGAAAAAAUUUGAAUUGAUUUCGGCUUUGUUAUGUGUAAAUUCUUACUCAAAAUCAGCACUGAUAGCCGUAGAAAACUUUCCUAUGAAAAAUUUCUGAUCCCAAUUUUUGCUCAUUUCAAAAUUCCCUUCACUGACAAAUCACCAAAAGAAAGUACAUCUAUUGUCUUUUCAAAGGCAUAUUUUGAAAGAAAAAAUCUGAACUUUUUUUUAUGGAAAAUGGUGCUACAAGGAAACUGUUUUGGAGACUAGGAGAAAGAAUCAUCAUGAAACACCUGUCUCCCCUAGGACUCCUCAAGAUCAGUCCAUGUAUAUUUCAUCCUUUACUAUCCAUCCUAGAAGGUCAGCCACUACGCCCUCUUCAUCUAACUCUGAGGUUAUUUCUUUGCUUGAAAAUCUCAAACAACACAUUCUACUCCUUGAAAAUGGUCUAAUGAUGACCAUGCCACCCGACCAACAAGCCACCUUCAUUGACAAAAGAAAUUUGCUUGUGUGACGGCCCCACUUCCCCCUAGGGCGUACCAAAGGGUUCGGCGGGUCGCCUGCCCAACUCUCGCCGAGACUCAGUCGUUCACUACAUUCCUCAAACAGAUUACAAUAUAAAUCUCAAAAAUUACAUCAAAUGUUCCCACAAUUACACAUCCAAGUCUCCAAUAAUUAUAUGUCACAAGCGAAGCGAAAACAAUUUCCAACUAUACAUAAAAUGAUUCCAAAUCCAAAUUGUACAAAAUAUAGGCCAUCUAUUCAAGUGAAUAACCACAACAAGCCUUCCUUCGCCACGAGCCCUGUGGAGGGGAAUAAAACAUUUUUGGGUGAGUUAGAAGCUCAGCGAGUAACCAGUAAAUUCAGUAAUCAAAUAUAUUUCACAAUAUUGCAUUUCGAUCCUUUCGAUGAUGUCAUGAUUCAGAGAUCAAAUAUACAUUUAUUGCUCUUGUGAGUCAGUGAAAUCAUGGCACUUGAACACCCAACGCUCAAAUAGAUCCAGUAAUAGUAAACAGUGAGAGAGGGAGCCAUUUGCUCCAGAUGAACAGUAAACAGAGGUGGAGACGUUGGUGUUCAGCACAAGACUUCUCCAGAACUCAGUGAAGCCAAAUCAUGUCAUGAACUCACAUGCAAGCACGCAUGAUAUGCAGUCGAGUAAAUAAUGCAAGAAACAGUUCAAAAGUAACUUUGGAAUCAGUUUAGGGUCACUCACCUCCACGGCUCAGAAACCAUCCAUCAUAUAUCAUUAUCUUGCCCGAGUCUGAGCCCUAAAUCACAAACUCAAAGCAAUCGUACAUUUUCAAAGUUCGAACAGCAUUUCCCCAUAAAUGCCUCAUUUCCAACCUACAAGGUAUCACUUACAUUUCAAACCAGGCCCACAGUCCGGCAUCCUAAACUUCAAGCCUAGGAUAAACUACAGAGAUCUGAAGCCUAAACUCUGAUACCACCUGUGACGAUCCCACUUCUCCCUAGGGCGUACCCCAGGGUUCGGCGGAUCACCUGCCCAGCUCUCGCCGGGACUCAGUCGUUCACUACAAUCCUCAAAUGAAUUACAAGAAUAAACCUCAAAUAUUACAAUGUAAAUCUCCAAUAUUUAUAUAUAAACAAAACGAAGCGGAAACUAAUUCCAAGCGUGGAACGUAUGUAUACAUCCGAUCGAUUCCAGACAUUCAUUACAAUCCCUAAUAAUAACUAUUACACAAAAGGAAAUCCAAAUUCAAACCAUACACGAGAUAAUCCAUCCAUUCACAUGAAUAAGCACUACAAGCCCUUUCUUCGCCACGAGCCCUGUGGAGGGGAAUAAAACAUUUUGGGGGUGAGCUAAAAGCUCAGCGAGUAACCAGAAAAAAUCAGUAAUCAAAUCGGUUUCACAAUAGUUCAUUUCAAUGAUGUCAUAUAUCAAUGAUGUCAUAAAUCAAAUGAUAAGUCCAGAAACAACUACAACAUUUGCAAAACAGUAAAUAUGGAGUAUCAAUAAUUCAAGAAACAUUUACAAUGGAAAGCGAUAGUAACAUUCAUGAAAAGAUACGGCUCACAGGAGCAAUUCAUUCGAUCAUUCAUUCGUUCUCCUGACAUUUUCCUUCCUUCAUUCAUUUGAAAAUGCAUUUUUCAUUUAUCAAUAAACCCUCGUUCGUUCGUUCGUUCAUUUCAUUCACCAAGCUCCACCAACCUCCACCAACCUACAUAGGUAAUACUCGAGUAUACCAAACGUUCACCCAAGUCCCUAAUCGCCCGACCGAGACCGCUUCUGGCUCGAGACGACCGGUAACAAGGGGCAAUGGCCAGUUCAGCCCAAAAGGCUUACAUUAUGCGCAACUAGUAUUUCAAUAAUUAAAUCCUUGAAAAUUGCACAGUUAUUUAGGUCGAAUGCGAUAAAGUACACACUCGCCUAGAAAGCUCGUUUUGGAAAUCAUUCAAAGCAGUUAACACGUUAUCAAUCAAUAAUACAAGUCAUGAAGUCAAGAAAAUAUACCAAAUAAGGAACACUCACAAGUCACUCAAACAUUCCAAGCAAGCACUAAGAGUUACUCUAAUCCCACUUGUAGGAAUGAAAAUCCGACAAGUGGGAUUAGAGUAACUCUUAGUGCUUGCUUGGAAUGUUUGAGUGACUUGUGAGUGUUCCUUAUUUGGUAUAUUUUCUUGACUUCAUGACUUGUAUUAUUGAUUGAUAACGUGUUAACUAUUUUGAAUGAUUCCAAAACGAGCUUUUUAGGCGAGUGUGUACUUUAUCGCACUCGACCUAAAUAACUGUGCAAUUUUCAAGGAUUUAAUUAUUGAAAUGCUAGUUGCGCAUGAUGUAAGUCUUUUGGACUGAACUGGCCAUUGCCCCUUGUUACCGGUCGUCUCGAGCCAGAAGCGGUCUCGGUUGGGCGAUUAGGGACUUGGGUGAACGUUUGGUAUACUCGAGUAUUACCUAUGUAGGUUGGUGGAGGUUGGUGGAGCUUGGUGAAUGAAAUGAACGAACGAACGAACGAGGGGUUUAUUGAUAAAUGAAAAAUGCAUUUUCAAAUGAAUGAAGGAAGGAGAAUGUCAGGAGAACGAAUGAAUGAUCGAAUGAAUUGCUCCCUGUGAGCCGUAUCUUUUCAUGAAUGUUACUAUCGCUUUCCAUUGUAAAUGUUUCUUGAAUUAUUGAUACUCCAUAUUUACUGUUUUACAAAUGUUGUAGUUGUUUCUGGACUUAUCAUUUGAUUUAUGACAUCAUUGAUAUAUGACAUCAUUGAAAUGAACUAUUGUGAAACCGAUUUGAUUACUGAUUUUUUCUGGUUACUCGCUGAGCUUUUAGCUCACCCCCAAAAUAUUUUAUUCCCCUCCACAGGGCUCGUGGCGAAGAAAGGGCUUGUAGUGCUUAUUCAUGUGAAUGGAUGGAUUAUCUCGUGUAUGGUUUGAAUUUGGAUUUCCUUUUGUGUAAUGGUUAUUAUUAGGGAUUGUAAUGAAUGUCUGGAAUCGAUCGGAUGUAUACAUACGUUCCACGCUUGAAAUUAGUUUCCGCUUCGUUUUGUUUAUAUGUAAAUAUUGGAGAUUUACAUUGUAAUAUUUGAGGUUUAUUCUUGUAAUUCAUUUGAGGAUUGUAGUGAACGACUGAGUCCCGGCGAGAGCUGGGCAGGCGAUCCGCCGAACCCUGGGUACGCCGUAGGGAGAAGUGGGGUCGUCACAGCUUGUACCUCCUGUUCCUCAAGACAAUGAGAAUGUACACCAAAAGGGACCUAGAAUUGAGUCAACUGAGCAAACUCCUCGUGCUGAAACUACUCCAGGAUUCGUGCUUCCAGUUCUCAUCCAUAGGACAAGGGAAAGGCUCCAGCAACUGAAGCAGAAACUGAAGAGGAUGAUGAUGAGGAAACUAAAGAGGAAGAAGUGGAUCCUGCUCAGUUUCGCCUAGCAAGAAGGAGGUCUGGAUCGUCCAAAUUACAAUUUAGGCACCUCUAGGUUCGUGUACUUCAUGUUUAAGUAGGCAUCUCAUAUUAGACAUUUGCAUCUUCGGCAUUUUAACAUUUCAAGUACUCUGUACUCAAGAUUCUGGUUGUUUGGUUAACUCUUCUGGCUUAUAAACUAUUCAGUUAACUUCUCUAUGUUGAAUGGUUUCUAAUUAAUUUUGUUGGUUAUCUUUUUGGUUAAUUCUGUUUGCUUCUGGGUGCUUGGUAUCCCUGUGACUUCUGAUUUUUAACAUUGUUUGCUGAUAUUGGUGAUUGUUGAUUUUGUUGGAUAUUCUUGGUUAAUGAUGUUGUUGAUGACAUUGAUGUUGGAUACUGGAUUGGAAUUGGAUUUGAAUUGUAUUAAUGCCACUGGCUAUUAAGAUCUUCUAAUGAUGACAAAAAGGGAAGGAAAUGAUAACAAGUUACUACAGGAAAUGUAAUCUGGUAAAUACGUGAGGGGUAACUAUUCUGAGGGAGAGUGUCUACCUUUUUUGAUUCAUUAAGUGAGGGGAAGUUUUUAACUUAAUUAUUUUUCUCCAUCCACUGUUUUGUCAUCAUCAAAAAAGGGGAGAUUGUUAAUCUCGGUUCUUAGCUUUUGAUGAUUACAAAACAAAUGGAUGUUACUAAUAUCUCCUCAGAGACUUUUUUAGAAAUGAAGCAAAUCAGGUUCAAAGAUGAAACUGUUGCUGAAGCUGUCGGACAUACAAAAAACUGGAUCGGAUGUCUGACAAUCAUUGAGCAACUUCGAACGUAUGAGGAACUCCAUCACCGGACGUCCGAAAGAAAUCAAAACACUUCCUUAAACUCACUAAUCUCAAUCGAACGCAGAACAUUAAAGCACUGGAUGUCCGACAGAAUUGAAAAGGAUUUUCAAACUUUACCAUCUACUUUCGGACGCAAACUUUGGAGGUACCGGAAGUCCAAAAGAAUUAAAGAAAAUUCUUCUUGCUCUCUGCCUGCUGUCGGACGUAAGAAACAAGACUACCGGACGUCCGACACUACCAAUGGCUAGUUGACUGUUCAACUACCUUCUAUCCGUUGGAAGCUUUAAUGAAGGAAUUUUUUGGUCUCCUAUAAAUAGAGUAAAGUCAACCACUUUAAAAUACUUUUGCACAUUGAGACUACAAAAGAUCUAGAGCAAUUUUAGUGAGAAAAUUCUCUUCAAAGAAGAUUUAUACUCUUAGUUGUGUAGAUUUCGUAUAAGCUUUUCUUGUGUGAGAAAAUUACUUCAAUAGUAUAGCUUUGUAAGGGUUAUCCGAGUGAUAGUAAAACUUCCUAACUUAACCAAGUAUGACUUGGAACAAGGAGGAAGUAAUCCUUCUUUUGUGCACAUAGAUUGGUUGUAAUUGAUCAACUUGAAGAAGCUUGCUCUAUAAAGUGAUAUUCAAACUCAAGAGAAGUUUGGAAUUUGGUUUGCUAUUCUAUCUCUUUUAUUUACUAUACUGCAAUAUAAAUUAUUCAUCUCUUCUACUCACGAGCAUUUGUACUUUUUCAUUAUUUGUUCCAUUGUGUGGUCAUCUAGAAAAGAGGGUAAAUUUCAUAUUCAAUCAAAAAGUGUCUCAUAAUUUGGUUAGUUUUUAAUUACCUAAAUCACCCCCCUCUUAGGUUGUCUUCGAUCCUUAUACUAUAAUUUCUAUUCCACUGGCUCCAAAGAUCAGUACAACAAUUGAAGUACGAGGCUGAGCAAGAAAGAGCAAAAUGUCUCCGUCUUCUAGCCUAUGAGCUAUAACAAAGUCACUCCAUCUUCGAUGAAAGCCAUCUUUUGUGAUUCCAAUAUUGUAACUUUUGGUUCCACUUGUUAGAACAAUAUCUAGAGUCCGAGGCUCAACUACAUUUAAUCAGUGUGCUCCAGAAUUUUCUACAAGCAAAAAGCAAGGCAUAAGAAUGUAAAGGAAUUAUGUUGCAAAAUAGAAGGAUUUGUUUUAAAAUAUAUAUAUGUAUAUACCGUGCUAUAUCUAAAUCUUCGAGUAUAAACUUAGAGCGCAUUUAGCACCAUUAGAUCAUGCCUAAUGAAUUGAUUGAUGGAUGAUGCAACAAAUCCUAAACUCACAUCUAUAGCUAUACCAUCUGUAGCACAGCAACAGGUGUGUUAGUAAAGUAUAUCAAGCGACAAAAAAAAUGAUUCAUUGUGAAAUGGAAAUUUAUGCUCCUUCUAAGAUCAGUGGUGUGUAUGGGAGCAUUGGCAAGUGCAAUGUUCAUCAUGUCCACAUUAGAUUGUGAGUUGCAGAGAAAGCAAAAAUUUCGUAGAUGAAGUUCCCUCUAUUUCAAGAAAAAAAAAUUAUAUUGCCUGGAGAGAUGUAGUUAUCACUGCAGAAAUUGUUCCAUUGUUUUUCAAAACAAGAAUUCAGAAUUUUUAUUUCCAAUGAGCCAAACCAUGAUAAAUUGUCCAUCUUCAAAACAAUUAGCAACUACCAUUUCAUCAGGGAUCGCUUGAAAUGAGAUAGACAGGUUAGGUAUGUAUUAAGGGAAAAAGUGAGCAUCAAUUUAACAGAUGACUUAUUUUUUGGUGCUUGUGUAGAAUAAAACAUAACACCAUGGUUGUCCACUAUCCAUGAAACCAAUCUCUUCAUUUUCUGUUCAAGAGAACAAAAGAAAUGCAAUUAUAUGUGUAGUUCAUUGAGUAGUCCACAUUCUAUAAUGAUGCAAAAAAUGUAUAAAAAGCCACUUGUUUCUGCGAAUGCCAUUGAGGUGAUAUAUGUAUUAUUCUAUAGCCACUGCUCAAUCAAUGCAAAUGAAAAUAGUGAGGGUUCACCCAUAUAUUUUAGAACCAUUGGACAUGCUUCAAGGAAAGACCUCUUCACAUAAUAAGUUGUCGCUCCAUGAACCUUGUUUACAGCAGUUGCUGCAAGAAUCUUUUCAUGGUCAAAGGUGCAUAGAUAAAAUUUAAUAUUGUUUCCCUUCCCAACUGCCUCCUAUUUCUAAAAGGGUCUCUUGGUUUAACCAUAGGUGGUUAAUAUCAAGAGUAUUUUAGUUCUAUAAUUUCAGCAUAUCUCAAAGCCGAUCACUAAAGCAAGGAGCAAAAACAAGGGAAAGUUUGCUGUGCCACCAAAGGAAGAAGAUGUUGAAUGUAUUUUAAAGUGAGGAUGAGCAUAGCAUGUUUAAAUAAGAACUCAAUAUACAAGGAGAAGCAUUAAGUACAAGAGCAUUAUAAUUGGUUGAAAAAAUAUGAAACCUCCAAAUAGAGCAAAGCAGGAAAUACCUCACUCAAUACUUCCAAACAAAGCCACCAUACAUAUAAUUAUUUAUAAUUCACAAUACUGGGAAACAAGCAAAUAUUUUGAAAAUUUUCCCAACAAGACUUGCAUUACUGUAACCACAAUGAUCUCAAUCAUUAUGUGUUACAUAGUUGACCCAACUAUUCUAUUUUAACAAAGACAGAUUGUUUUAAAUAUUCUUACGAAAAUGAUAGAACACAAGUGGCAUGUUAGCCUUAAAAAUUUAUUGAAAAAAUACAAUAAUUUGACCUUUACUUGAAUGUCCAAUCUCCAAAACUCAAAUACGAUACUGGAAAUCCUAAAAGCUUAAGUCCAAAUUAUAGAUUAAGGCCUUUACUCCAUAUCAGCCAAGUAAUAAUCAUAUAAUACCAUCCAACUAAAUAAAAAAUUAUGCUCACAUAAGCUUUCAAGAGCUGUAUAUAUUGAGAAGUAAAUCUGUCAAGGAUGUUUAGAUAAAAUAGAACUUAAUCUAUCAAGGAUCAUCUCCAGCUAUUGUCUCACAAGUACAUCAUAACCAGAAGGAAAAGCAACUCAUCUACAUUUUUUCUUAGAAACCUCCAUUGUUUCAGAAGUGCAAGUGUAAACAGGCUCAUCCCUAGCCAUUAUCUCACAACCACAUCAGGACCAGAAGGAAAAGUAAAGGAAAUGGCCAAUGGAAAAUUCGAAAAAAAAGCUACAAUUCUCAGAAAGAUUCAACCAUGCUCAAGUAAUACUAACAUAAUACCAUCCAAGUAAAUAAAAAAAAUUUUGGCUCACAGAAGCUUCCAAAAGCUAUACACAUUGACAGACCCACAACAUGAAAGACCCAGACCAGAAUAAUGCCAAGCAAAGACAUAGCCACAACCUAAAAAGGCAAGUCCAAAUAUAAGUAAAUAUGAAAAGUUUCUGCUUACAAAGGCUGCCAAAAUCUAUGCACAUUAACAGAAUUAUAACACAAAAGACCUACGAGAAUAAACCAAUGAAAAACAAAAUCACAACCAGAAAAGAUGACAAGAGGAUAGAAAUGCAAAAUACAAAGAUAAAUGAGCAAAGAAUAGAAAAAUAUCCAACAAACAUCAAACCAAUGGACAGAACAAUAGUGAAAAUGGUAAAAAGAAACAUAACCAAAUAUCCAUGAGCAAACGAAAAAUAGAAAAAAUAUAAUUUACCUGACGGGAGAAAUUACAAUCAGAGCUCGCAAGUAAAGGAUCUGUAGAAAAGAGGAGCUUGUCAAAAUGCAAAAAGAAAAUGAAGGAAAUAGAGGAAAAUACCAAAAUAACUGAUGAGAAAAAGAAGGAGAUGAAGGGGGGAAUUUAGACAGAGCAAUAACAAAAAAUGGUACCCAAGAGCAAAGAAAAACAAAAAAAUUACAAAUUACCUGACAAAAGAAACUAUUAUUAGAGCUCGCAAGUAAAGGAUUUGCAGAAAAGAGGAGCUUGUUACAAUUUUUUUUUUUUUAAAAAGGAAGAGGGAACCAAAGGAAAUAUUGAAAUACCUGAUAAGAGAAAAGAGAUGGAAAUGCAAGACACGGAGGUAAGCGAAGAAAACAGAAGACGAUGGAAAUGUAGAACACAGCAACAAACAUCCAAAAGCAGGACACACCUAAGCUUCACAUAGGCAGAGCAAUAACCACAUAGAAUCUGCGAGACAAAGAUGAAGUGAAAGGCAAAGAAGCUGAAAAGUGCCUGACGAGAGGAGCCACAAACAAAAUUCUCAAGACAAAGAUGAAGCGUGAAAACGGAGAUGAGAAAGCAAAUGAGAAACUCUAGGAAAAAAGGGCACAACCAAUUUGUCUUGGAAUUUAGACCACAUUGGAAGAGACAGCCAUGAUAAAAUGCGCCAAUUACCAUUCUGAAGAAAGCUCUCCUGGUAGCUCCGGACAAUGCAGCGGUGAGAGCCAAGAAAGGAAAGGAACUCGUACGGCCAUCUGUUCCAAAGCAGAAAACCAUGGUCGACCCAAUUACCCGAACCAUUCCAAUGGAGCAUCUAGAAGUGCAAACUUACACAACUCACAUGCUCGGCACAUGACAACGACGAAACCCCUUGGUGCAUUGUAUGUUAUGUUGAUAAGAAAAAAUGCACCUAUAUGAUUCAUCUUCAUAUCUUGCUGUCUUGUUUAAGUUUGCAUUACUGUUCAUGCAUCCGAUGUAUGUUCUUCCAUUUUUUUUCUUCCAUGUGUAUGUCAAACCUAUGGUACUCAUGCACUUAAUUGUUUUUUCAAAAUCUUAAGAGUAACAAGUUUAUUCUACUGAUUUCAUGAACUUGCAAAACACAAAAAAUUUAUAAAUGCAGGGAAAUGAUCAUAAAGUUCAUAAAACACAAUAAAGGAAAAAAGAGCAAGGAAAAAACACAAAAUAAAUGCAAAAAAAAGUGGAAAAAAGUACAAGGGCAAGAAUCAUAAAAAGAAUGGGUAAGAAAGAAAGAUGCAGCACUUGCACUUGCACGAUAAGCCUUUGUUCACUACAAUGAAAAUCUCAAGCAAUGAUCAAUUACAUUAUUGUUAUCCUCUAGGCAUUAUAUCAAGCUAGCUUACAUAAUGUACUUUGCCAAAUCAUUAGUCUCCUAUUGGGAGUCGAGCAUUUAAAAACUAAGAUGAGUUUUGCUCUACUCAUCAAAAAAAGAAGAGGAAAAACAGCUUUUUGCCACAUUUGUGGUUUUAGAGCUUAUUGCACUACGUGCAUCUGGUGAUUUCAUUUGAUGCUAAAACUAUAUCGGUAUUUCCUUUUGAAUUUAAUGUAUCACAUCUUGCAAAAAAGGAGGCACAGUAUUAAGCGCAAUAAGGGGACAGGUGACCAUUUCAGCUGCAUGUCUUCUGAAUUUGCAGCCCAACUCUUCAUUGACUAUGAUCGGAUUGAUGAGAUGCCACUCACUUGUGUGUCCAGUUUGAAUCUACUGCUAUUAAAUGAAAGACAUAAAACGAGCGAGUUGUGCAUGAUAUGCGUAGAAGCAUAACUGGUUCCACGUAAUUUCUAAGUGCAUUUGAAGGUAGGAAGUUACACUACAGAUUUGUUGGCCUAUUAUUCUACAAAAUGGCUCAGUGAUCUAGAAUUAUAUCAUUGCAAAGAAUGAUUUGCUUGUUGAAGGCACUGACAAAAACAUCCAGCUUCUUGUUGAAGAUUAGAACAUCUGUGACAUCUAAGUUCCAGUUUGUUUUCUUUUCCCAUUUUUGGAAUGAGUUUAGUUUCUUAAGUCACCAAAUUUACAACAUUUUCAUGUUCUUGACAGUGGAUGCUAUUUGUCUAAAGUAAUUUUUCAUGUAUACUUAGCAUCGUUCACUAAAAUCGUGAUAUAGAACUUGACUUUUGACUUGAUAUUAUUUUCUGUUCUUCCUAGGCCUGUCUACUGCUUGUUGUUUUGUGUAGUCAUUGUUCAGAGUUUGAAGACUACUGGACCUGUAGGCUUUAAAAGUCUUGUUCACAAUUUUCUUCGAAGAGUUGGCUGCAAGAAGCUUUAGAACCUGCAUUUCAGAGAGCUAGUCAGAGAAUGUAUCCUUCUUGAAAGACUACAGUGGAUAAUUAUACUGAUUCAUUUUUUGCUAAAUAUCUUUUUAUGUUGACCAUACCUUUUUUUGGUUGAACUUAACUUUCGCUAUAGAGGGACAGAGAUUUGGAGAAUUGAAAACUUCCAACCAAUUCCUUUACGAAAAUCUGAUCAUCGUAGGUUCUACUCAGGUGAUUCAUACAUUGUCUUGCAGGUGCAUAUGGCUUCCAAUAUUUCUUCCUUUGUAUCUUAUUUUGGGCCUCAUUUUUACGAAUUGAGUGUUUAUGACUGAAGGAAGAGCUUAAAUCUUUUUUAUCCUGUUUUAAUUUGGAUACAAUGAACUGAUAAAAACUAAUAUCGAUCAUUGCAGUCCAGUUUAAUAUUGAUCAUGAGGAGGCUGUUGAAUAUGAUGAUAGAGAUGGUUGAAAUCUGACAUUGGUACUACGGUCUAUGCUUUAGUUUAGAAAUCUAGUACUCUUUUUUUUUGGAAGGAUAUGUAUUGGUCAUUACUGCUUGAACUUAUUAUGUGAGCUUUGGGAUCCAACAUUUGUGGUUCACUUUUGUUUUGAUGAAUGUAUAGACGUUCAUGGCCAUAUAUAUGAAUUUGUGGUUUUAUUCUACGUUGAUUUUGUCUUUUGUCAAAUUGAAUAUUCUGCUAUAAUUUGUUGAAAAUGCUAUGGCAAUGCUAUAUUCGUAAUGGUCAAUUUCAACUCUUCAAGACAAAGCUCAGUGACAACCUUUGACAUGCAAUUUCACUAAGUGACGAUUAUUUCUGUCACUGAAUAAUAGGACUGAUUGUGACAAGCUCAGGUUGUCACUGUAAACUUCAAAAUUGUGACGACUUUUGCUACAUCUAUGAUAAAAAUAUAGGUGAAACAGUGACAAGAAAAGUCAUUACAAAAUAAUAUCCAUUAGUGACGACUUUGUCCUCGUCAUUGAAUAACAAGAUUCUAUGACGACUUUCAAAGAGUUGUCACAUGGACCCAUUUAUGACAUAGAAUCUGUGACAACCAUUUGACAAUCGAAAAAGCCGUCACUAUAUCCAUAUAAUGACGACUUUUUGGCUUUUAGUGAUGACUUUUUGUUGUCACAAAAGACCCAUUUUCUUGUAGUGUAGUAUGCACAGAAAAGGUGGCUAGAUCUAAUUUUUUUGGGGGGAGGGGUGUUUUGAUUCGCAUUAUUUGAAUUCAAAGGGGUGUUACCCUAGACGUAUCUUCACCUUUAUCUCUUUGAGCGGCUUGGUGAGCAUCAAACAUAAAUCCCCUAAUAGGGGCAUCUAAUUAAUCUUCAGUCCCAUCCGGUUCAAGAUUUUCAAGUACCACAUCUUCUUCCCCCAUAGCUCGUACAUUAUUCUUGUUAGGAUCCAAUCACGAAAUAAUCAACUAUUGAGAUAUCAAGUACAUAAUAAUUUAAUGACAAACAAACCACAAACAUGAAAAAUAAAAGACACAUAAUAUUUAACAUGGUUCGAUUUCAUCAUUGAGCCUAUUCCACGGAGAGAAACUCGUUCUUUAUUAUGAGAGGAAAACCCUAUAGAAGAAUAUAAAUUGAACCCAAAUCUAACCCCUGUAUACCAUCUCUCAUCUCCCAAAAACCUUCUUUCACUCCCAUGUAUAAGGCUAGCCCUUUUGUGUGCCCCUUAUGUGUCUUUGUGUAGUAUGCAAAUCCAUCCAUUUAUAGGAAAUAUUAUUUGACCAAAACUCAAAUAACAACAAGAAACCAAUUCUAAUUUCUAAAUUUACAUAGAAUAGGACAUAACUUCUAAUCCUAAACAAAAUAGGAAAUUCUUUGACUACUAUUUCAAAUAACUAAAAUUAAUUAGAAAACUAGUUACUUUCACACAAAACAAGAACCCUACCUAAAAGAAAUUGAACCAAUUUUCUAACAAAUCUCCAUCUUGGUGAAAAUUUCUUUUAGCAACCAUUUGUCUUCAACUACCAAAUAAUAUGGUAUCGAAUUACACAUUCGAAUCAAUACAGUCUUACUACCAAAUUGAUUCAAUCGGCAAAUGAAUAUAUGUAGUUACCUAGAAUCCAACCUCCAAUUGACUCGUGAGAAGGUGCCUCAAUUCACCGUCUCCCUAUGUAAGAUUUUUUCUAAUCACUACUUGCAACCAGGGAUUCCCUUCUGUGAGCUCUAACGCUAAAUAUUGAGAAAGACUAACUCCCAACAAGGUCCGACUUUACAGGAGAAAGAAGCGUCGAUAAGGGAAGCGCCUUCAAGGAAGAUUUCAGGAAGCAUUUAUUCAAUAAGAUUGAGUGGAGAUUUCUUGAUAAAUGAAGUGGUAAAGUCACCAUACUUUUUCCCAUCCUCAAGACUCCACCUAAAAUAAAAAACUCAAAACUAUCAGAGUCUUCUGGUGAAUGGAAAUUAAAUCUCUUUUUUUCUUUACAGCACAUGCCACACUACCCAAAAAACAUAACCAAAAUCUAAAAUCCAUCGGGAUGAAGUAUCAACCGUUGGAGGUAUGGGAAAGUCUUCAUCGAUUCAUGUCCAAAUCAACAUUGGACUCCAUCUUUUCCUUGACCAUUGAAUCAGCUACCAAUUCAUUUGAUCUCAAUAGUUACCCAGGAUCCAAUCAUGAACAACCAAACUCUUGAUCCAACCAUUCAGUUUGUUGGGAUCCAAGUGCUUGUGAGCAGCCCAAUUUUCACAACCAAACUCUGAUACCACUUGUUAGGAUCCAAUCACGAAAUAAUCAACUAUUGAGAUAUUAAGUACAUAAUAAUUUAAUGACAAACAAAUUACAAGUAUGGAAAAUAGACGACACACAAUAUUUAAUGUGGUUCGACCCCACCAUUGAGUCUACGUCCACGGCGAGAAACUCAUUCUUUAUUAUGAGAGAAAAAUCUUAUACAAAAAUAUAACUUGAACCCAAGCCCAACCUCUAUAUACCAUCUCUUAUCUCCCAAGAACCCUCUCUCACCUCCAUGCAUAAGGCUAGCCCUUUUGUGUGCCCCUUGUGUGUCUUUGUAUAGUAUGUCAAUCCACCUAUUUAUAGGGAACAUUAUUUGGCCAAAACCCAAAUAACAACAGGAAACCAAUUCUAAUUUCUAGACUUGCAUAGAAUAGAAAAUAACUUCUAAUCCUAAACAAAAUAGGAAAUUCUUUGACUACUAUUUCAAAUAACUAAAAUCAAUUAGAAAACUAGUUACUUUUACACAAAUCAAGAGUUCUACCUAAAAGAAAUUAAGCCAAUUUUCUAACAAAUCUCCACCUUGACGAAAAUUUCUUUUAACAACUAUUUGCCUUCAACUACCAAAUAAUAUGAUACCAAAUUACACACCGAAUCAAUACAGUCUUGAUAUCAAAUUGAUUCAAUCGGCAAAUGAACAUGUGUAGUUACCCCGAAUCUAGCCUCCAGUUGACUUGUGAGAAGGUGUCUCAAUUCACCGUUUUCCUUUGUAGGAUUUUUUCUCACCACCACUUGCAACCGGGAUCCCUUUCUGUGAGUUCGAACUCUUAACAUUGAGGCAACCAAGUAGUAAAAUCACCAUACUUCUUCCUAUCCUCAAGACUGUCUCGCCACAUGUGGUUUCCAAGACUUCACAUAAAAUUAGAAACUUGUAACUGUCUGAGUCUUUUGGCACAUGAAAAUUAAAUCUCUUUGUUUCUUUAAGACACGUGCCACACCAUCCAAAAACAUAACCAAAAUCUAAAAUCCACCGGGAUGAAAUAUCAAUCGUUGGAGGUGUGAAAAAGUCUCCACCGAUUUACGUCCAAAAUCAAUAUUGAAUUCCAUCUUUUUCUUGACCCUUGAAUCACUUGCCUAGAUUCACCGUAUAUCUCCAUACUUUUCGACUUUCUAUCCUUCACCAUCAAUGUUUUUUCCCAAGCCAUUGAAACAAGAAUACCAGUCAUUAAAUUGUUCAAUUAGUAACAGCUACCAAUCCACUUGAUCUCAAUAGUUAACCAAGAUCCAAUGUUGAACAACUAAACUCUCGAUCCAACCAUUCAGUUUGUUGGGAUCCAAAUGCUUGUGAGAAGUCCAAUUUUGCAAUCAAGCUCUGAUACCAUUUGUUAGGAUCCAAUCACGAAAUAAUCAACUAUUGAGAUAUCAAAUACAUAACAAUUUAAUGACCAAUAAGCAACAAACAUGGAAAAUAGACGACACAUAAUAUUUAACGUGGUUCGACUCCACCAUUGAACCUACGUCCACGGAGAGAAACUAGUACUUCAAGUAACUAAAACCAAUUAGAAAACUAGUUACUUUCACAUAAAACAAGAACCCUACCUAAAAGAAAUUAAGCCAAUUUCCUAAUAAUUCUCUUGAAUACUGACAAUAUCCCUUUGCUUUCUUUUUGGUGCCAUCCUGCAAACACAAAUUAGGUUAGGGCAAAAUCUACCUACACUAAGCUACCCAAUCCUCAACUGGUAGCAAUAGGUAUUUGAACACGAAAAUCAAAACUAAGUCAAUCCACACUAAGGUUGGCCACCUGAAGUGUAAAUCAACUAAUUCCAAUAUUCUAUCCAACAUACACACUACAUUACAUCAAACUUUCAAUAAAUAUUCAUUCUUAAGGUACUAUAAGUAAGAUUCACACCUAGGCUCUGAUACCAAAUAAAUGUCACGCCCCAUGUCUGGAAUUUAACACCGCCACGCCUAGACAAUGCUAAAGAUGUAAGCCAACAAAUUUCCAAAAUAAAUAUAUUCACCUUUAUAUAAACUUUCUAAAUCCGCAAAUACAAGAUCAUCCAUAACAGCAAUUUGCGUCUUUCAAAAUAAAAGCAAGAUCAAACCUUCUACAAUAUGUACAAUAUUCGAAUCCUAUUAUAAGGUAUCUAAUAUAGAAGUACAAAAGUUAUCCUCUAACAAAAGUCAUCUCCAUCUCCAUUACCACUCCCAAGUUCUAUCAAGGUCCACUUCAAUGAAUGCAUCAUUAACUGCAUAAUUAUAACAAAGGGGCGAGCGAAAUCUCACUCAAUAAGUAGCACAUGUAUCUCAUUAUUGGCCUGAGCAUGUUACAUACAUAAUAUAUAUUUCAAACGCCAUUAACUUACACAUAUAACUUUAUAAGAACAUGGUCAUUAUAAACAUUUCAAUGGCAUAUCAUACAUCACACACAUAAAGGAGCUCAAACCAUAAGACAACAAUUGACCCUGGAUAUCCAGUUAUUAACUUAAUCGGUUAACACGGUUCAUAGUGCUAACUACUAUACGAUUAGCCUAUUUCAUAUUGCUAAUGACAACACAGAUAGCUUGUUUCAUAUACCAACUACUUGUGAGGAACUAGUCUCGUCAAAAGUCGCUUAUACAAGAGCUCAACAAACAUGACAUUUCAUUUUACAAAUGACCAUGGCAAGAGUAAUAACAAAUAUCACAAAUUAUACUUGGUCAUGCCACUUUAGCAAUUAGACAAGUAGCUUUCAAAAUUCAUCUUUCAAAAGAUAAAGGAUACGUGCAUCACUUACCUUGAUCCAAUGGAUACCCACGCUAGUUCAAGUAAUCAAAAAAAUGGCUACCUUAUUCAUCUAGACAUAAUAAUAAAAUAUUCAAUUACAAUCUUAAAGAUACUAAACUACUCCAAAUUAUCAUAAAAAGGAGUCUAAUACUACCCUUAACGACUAAUUCCUAAAAAGGAUCAUUUCCUCAUCAAAGCAGGACAUAAGGGUUAAUUUUAAAGGGUCACUAACUUUAAGAAAUAUAGAAACAUGGCAAGAUAUUUACACAGAGUUAAAGCCCCCUGAAUCUAGUUUCCAACGCAACAAACAGCACCUAAAUCCGAGUUUCCUACAUCAAGUUAUGGCCAAAAAACUGAAAUAUGGCUGUACAGAAAAUUUAAUCCAUCCGAGAAUUAUAGCCAAUCCAUCUAAGGAUUAUAGCCAUGGAUUUCUAGCACGUUUUCAAGGCAAAAACAAGUUCCAAAUUUGAUAAUCAAGUUCCAUUUCUAUCUCAAAUCAUCUUCCAACCUCCAUAGUUGUCAAAAUCAACAUAUUUUAGCUCCCAAAGUCAUGUAAAUACAUAAACAAUCUUGAAAAUGAAUUGUUAGCUCAAGUAAUUCUUUCCCUCAACAUUUCUCCUUUUUAUAUUGAUGAUAGCCCUAUAACCAUAUGAAAAUAGAGACCAAAACAAACUUUAUACAUCAUAGCCAUGGAAGUUAACCAAAAAUUUGAACCAAAUACUACCCAAUCACCCAAUCAAAGAAAACCAAAAUCAUGUUCAAGGUUUCAUGAAAAUAUGUUGGUUAGUUGUCAAAGUAGAAUCUCCUUACUCCUCACUCCUUACUUGUGCUUGAUUUGUCAAGAAUUCUUCUUGAUUGUAAGGAAAAAGGAGAGAAAUAAGAAAGGGUUUUGUUGGAGAAGGAAAGAAGAAAGGAAAUGAAGAAGAUGAAGAAAUUUUUUGACAAGGAUGAAUAGUGAAAUCCCACUAUCACUUUAUUCUUUCAAAAUUUCACUUAUUAACACAUUGGUCACUCAAUUUAACAUCUUUCACUUUUCACCACUAAAUAGUAUUUCUUCGCAUAAAAUUCUCUACAAGACACUUGGGUAUCACAAUAAUUGUUAGGACCAACAAUUCUUAUAGACUGUCUGAGACAACAGUAUUCAUGGAUAUAAAUGAAAGCAAGAACAUUUGAUAUAGCGCUAGGGAUUUUCGUAUCAUCCUUGACAUUUAUAUGCAUCUCUUCUAUUUGGAUAUUUAUCUACAGCGAGUCUUUCUAUCGAUAAUGCCCAACUAAAUAAAAAAGAAAAGACAAUUUGCAUUUUUUCUUUUUUCUCUUUUUUUUUCCCAAUGUGUCAAACAACAAGAAUGGUAACCUCCUGUUGGAUCCUUAAUCCAACGUUGGACUUAUAUGUGAAUAAUUAUGUAUUUCAAACUGUCAAAUAAGGUUAAAUUCAAUUAAAAUGAUCAAAUAUGAUUUGGACUUAAUGUAUCUAAUAAGGUGUGGGUCUUUAAUGUGUAGAGACUUAAAGGUAUUUUCUAUUUCUAUGAUGGAUUGAAAUAUGAAUCUAAAAGAUAACAGGAAUGCUAUCUAUAAAUAGGGAUAUGGUCUCCAGGUCACAAGUAUUCUUAUUGUCAUAUUUUCUAGUACCACAAAACAGUUUUUUCCUAAUGUCCCAUCAUCAGAAAACAUACCAGAGAGAAACUAAAGUGCUCUCUCAAGAAUUGGUAAAUACGUGUUGACUUAGAAGGCUAUCCUAAAAUCUUCAAGGAUUCAAGUGCCAGUUUGUCAAUAUGAAUUUAGAUACGCUUCCGCAUUUAUAUUACAGUUCUGUUCAAAUAUCUGAUAUUGGAAUUCUGGAAAUUCCUACACCUUCUCCCUUUGAAAUUUCAGAGAACAAAACCAAAUAUUUCAUUCCUACUAAGUUAUGGGCACGCAUUACAUCAUUCCUACUAAAUUUAACUAUCUUAACAACUUAGAAAAAGCUAGCUACAUAUACAUUGUCUUCUUACAUAGAUAAAAGAUAUGCAGGGCAUAUAGAAAGAUCGUCCAAAUGGGUUUAAUUUGCUGCUUUUAAGCUUGACAUUUGUAAGACUUAUGACCGGAUAUCAUGGCAAUUUCUAUAGGCUGUUCUAAGAAAAAUGGUUUUUCCAGAAUCCAAGAUUAAUAUUGUUUUGAAGAGUAUCUUUUUGUCCCUUACUCUAUCAUAGUUUUUUUUUUUUAACUUAGGGUUAUCCAAACUUUUUGGCCAACUAAUUCCCUAAAACUGUGUAGAGUCUUAUUCUAAGGAUACAUAGUAAGAUAGUACACAGGAUUCGAUUACGGGACAUGUUAGUAACUAUCAAACUACGGAAUUAGUCGAACUACCCGCGGGGCACUCAAUCGUAGUUAAUGGAGUACUAUCAUCGGUAAUAUAUCCUACCAGAGGCCAGGGGCGGAGGGAAGGGGGGGCCAGGGGGGGCAACCGCCCCCCCUCCAAUUGUUAAAAAAAAAAUUUCUAAGUAAAAAAUUUUUUAUUAUAUUGUUUUGCCCCCCCAAAUAUUGAUAAAAAAUUUCACUUUGCCCCCCCUCCAAUUGUUAUAAAAAAAUUUCUAAGUAAAAAAAAUUUUUCUUAUAUUGUUUUGCCCCCCCAAAAUAUUGAUAAAAAUUUUCACUUUGCCCCUCCUAAGGCCCAAAUAAUAAUGUUUGAAAGUUAUUUGGACUUUGUCCAAAUAACAGAGACUCGCCCCCCCUAAUUGCAAUUCCUAGCUCCGCCACUGCCAGAGCCUUCGCCAGGGAUGCCCCCUCUGAGCAUCAUAUCUCUGCUUUAUACCAAGAGGCGUUGUCAGCUGCAUUAUGUUCUUUGGCAUCUAUAGAAUCUAUGUCCCCAAAUAUGAUUUUGAAAACCUAUACUUUGACUUACAAAAUCUUAAUUUUUUUCAAAUCCAAUAAAGAUGGAAGGGAAAUAUAAAAAAAAAUAAGAAACAAAAAAUACAAAAUCUUUUUUUGACUACAAAUAUCAUUAUAAGUUUUAAUCUAAAACUUUAAUGGUAUUUUCUAUUUCUUUUUAUCUAUUUUUUUAUUUCAAUUUCUUCCUUUUUAUGUUUAGAGGAAAAAAUAAGCAACGAAAGGAUAAAUUUAUCAAUUUAUUAAUUUGAUUUUGCAUUUUACCGCUGACUCUAAGUUUUAAUGAAAAAACUAAGUCACAUUUUAUUUCAAAUCAUGAGGAGGUUAUAUAAAGUUUUCAUACCAUAGGAUGGUUAUGUUGUAAACACCAAACCAUACGGGUAAAAGGUAAUUUUCAUUAAUCUAUGCCCACUAAGUUUCGUUGGAGCUAUUAAUGCAUGAAAAAAAAGCAUGCGCUUUUCAGCAAAAUGGGGACAUAGACAAAACGCAAAUUUGAAAGUUUCAAUCUCAUAAACAUAAUAACCACCGGAUGUUUUCAUUAAUUCAUAGUGAAAACAAGAAGAUCCGCAGUCCUAGUUAAGCAAGCAAAGCUUAUGAGUCAGUUCAUUCAAAAACUUUCGGAAUUACCUGAAGAAUGAUGAGCUUUGGUGAUACUUUUUUCGGCAAACUGCAAGCUUUCUACAAUUAAGGUUGGAAUAAGAUUGGAUACAAACGUCCUCUUUAAAUACGAGACAUCAGUUUGUAAAGAGGAAGUUAUAUGGUUCUCUUUGGGAAGCUGCAAAUUUUGGUGAUUUGAAACCAAUUUGAAAAUUGACAAAAUUCGUGCUUUCCUUGGCAGCUACUGGCUUUGAUUGAAAGAGAUGAUCUUGGCAAUGGCUAUAUUGAGUCAAAAUCAGACCGUAACGAUCUUGGCUAUGGAAUUUGGAAUGUUUUGUUUCCACUUUCCAAAUGGUAGUUGGCUUGUUGCAAGAAAGAAGAAAAAUUGCAGUGGUCUUCAUUGGCAAAAUUUGAUAAUAUCAUGGUCAAAAUAUCUAACUGCUCACGUGGGACAUCUUUUUGUAAGUAUUACUGUAUUAGUUGCUUCUAAUCCACAACAAGUCAAAAGGAAAGUUGUCUUUUAACUACUUGUUCCAAUUUAUAAGUCAGGCUUCCAUUAAGGAAUUGAAGCCACCGCCUUGCACUCCAAGGUGGUUCUGUGCACUAAUCAAAUUGAUUUAGAUGCAUUACAGGGUUAGCAAACAAAGUUGUGGGCUUUCAAAUGAUUCUAAUGGAAUUUACUAAUGAAAAGUCUUGCAACUCAGGACUCGUACUUCAAGCUUUGUGUUUGGCAAUUGUCAACCAAUGCCUUACCAAAUCUUAAAGCGGGCAUUUGCAGAAAAUAAAAAUUUUAUUUAAUUUAUUUAUUCAAGAUUUAAUAAAUUAAGUUGAUUUUAAUUAAACUAAAUUAAAUUAUGAAAGUCCUUUAUUUUUGAACUAACAAAUUGGACCAGUAUUAUGUGGGCUGUAAAAUCAAUUAAAUAUGCAAGGUCCAUUUAAAUUAAAAUGGAUUAAUGGAAUCAUUAAUUCACAAUGGACUGUUGGGCUAGCUUAUUACUAAAAUCAAUAUUAAAUAGAUUUCAAAUUGAACCAGUAUUAAACGAAUUGUUGGGCCAGCUUAUUGUUAAAGUUUUUCACAUAUAUUGUUAUAAUAAAAUAUUUCAAAACAUCCGUAAAAAUAGUUAAUCCAAACAGAGACAUGGUUUUUUUAUAUUACUUUAAUUAAUUUUUUUUUUUUUUCUUCUUUGGCUGCAAAAAUUACGCACCACCAUAGGAAUAAUUCACUUAAUGAACUUCGGAGGUCUCUGACUAAAAAUAACGGAGCAAUCAUUGAUGGCAAUUUGGCAAUGGAAAUGAUGGCAUUUGACCAUGUUAUUAAUGGCACUUUAGAUCUAGCCUCAAAAAAUGCUGAUUCUAAACAUGAGGAUGGUUUCUUAGAAAAACGUUGUCCUCUUUGUUCUCUUGCUACGGUAUUUGAAGACAAUCACUAUACGCAAGCAAAAAUGCCUAAUCCCUCCUUUCACUCAGUCGCUUCAUUUUUCUUCAUUUCUCACUUGUUUGUUUUUUGGAUUUAUAGAAGAAGUGCCUUUUAAAUUUACAGAACAAGAAGAAGAUGAUGAAUGCGAGAGAAAAGAACCCUGUGGUCAUAGCACAUUGUGCUUCCUAAAUUGCCCCUUCAUUAUGUCUAGUGAAUCACACAACGGUGGAAUCUGACAGAAUGACUCAGGAUCAAAAUACAUACUUUAGAUAGUUUAGUAGCCAAAAUCAAAUUGUUAAUAGUUCAGUGACCAAAACUCAAUGAUAGCAAAAGUUUAGUGCUAAUGAGGUAAUUUGCUCGAAAAAUAAUGAUAGAAGCAGCGAAGGGUGAAAUUUGGAUGUUCAUGCUACUGAGAAAGUUUUUGUACGACUGAUUCCCUGGAGAUUGCUAUCACUUGAGGUAGGGGAAACAACAAUGGAGGCUCUCUGUCUUGGAGGUGUCUGAAGCAAAAAGUCCUGGGCAGAAAUGUGAAACAAAAUCUGAAUUGUGGGCUUGUGUUUGCGGCUGAUGACUGUAUUAUUGUCCACCGAAGUCUUCCGCCCAAACAAGGUGACCCUCUUAUUAUCCCUGCCUCAUUAUCUACUUCAUGUUUUGCUUCUACUAACUCCCCUACCACUUAAAACGAGUUUUGGGUCGAGGGUUAGGUUAGGGCGCUAGAACUCGAGAAGGGGAUGAAGAAGAUCGAAGCUUCUGUGGUCUGGAGCUUAGGAUUGAGGAUGCUGGAGUUGGGUUUGCGUUUUGCCCGCCAAUGAUCACCCUGAGUUGCUUAAUUUGGUAGAGAAAAAUCAGAACAUGGGAGUGGCCUGGAGGCAGGUUACCCCGUGCCAGCGACCUAAUUAAUAUUGAUAUGGGUAAAAUACAGUAAACCCCUUAUGGUUAGGAAAAUAAAUAUGAAACUCCCUCAUUGUUUAAAAAUACCCAUUUAACCUCCCUUGUGCUUUGAACUUCUUUGGAUUUUGACUGCUAACAGGUUGGAAGCCAGUAAUAAUAUAAAAUACCAAAAAUACCCUCAUUUAUAAUAUCUCAAAAGGCACAGCUGCAAUUAGUAGAUCUUGAGUGGUACUUCAGGUGCAGAGAGAGAAAGUGGAUGAAACCCUAAACCUAUAGUACUAUCUUCUUCCAUGACAUCAAUAAACUACAGAAUUUUCGUGUGUAUCUCACAGAUGAAGAAGGCAUUUUUGUGCAGAUUGAUCGAGGGUUGCGAAGCAUCGAGCAUAGCGAUUAACAAGGUAAUCUCAUAUCUUAACCCUAACUUUACUUGUGUUGAUUGGUUUCAUGGUAGACGUUUGGUAGUAUAUUGUUGGAGAUAUUUCGAAACUUGGUAAAAGAAGUGAUAGCUUUGGCUUAGUCAAAAGUAUUGUCGACAAUCUUUAUCGAAAAAAUUUAUAAAAAAAUUGCUAAGUAUGCAAAAAGGAGAAAAGAAUGGGUCUUUGCGGAGUAAUCUAGACUAUUGUGGUCAAUACUGGUAUUGAUUAUGUUUUUUAACCUUUUAGAUGAGUGUGUUAAUGUUGACUAUGCUUUUUUGAAACUAAAAGUGUAUGAAAUAUUGCCUGUCGUUUUCGAUACAUCUGAAAAUUAAAUUAGUAAAUUUAUCUCUGUUACUUUGGUUUAGGUGUAUAAGAAUGGAAUAAUCCGUUUAAGAGUAUAGACAUAUACAUGCAUUAUGGUGGAAAUUUCAAAUGAAACUGAGAAUUAGAUACACCGGCGAACAAGUGAGGAUAUUUUGUGGAUGGGACCUGAUGAAUUUUCUCCAUUUGACUUUCAAAAAUGUAUGACACAAUUGAGUGUGGUGUAAGCAAUAUGAAUUUCUAGUACUCUAUCCCCUUUCAUGACCUUGAUGUUGGUGUUGUUAGUAUUAAGGAUGAUGCCACAUCGAGUUAUUGACAAUAUGUUAUGAAAGGCUUCCAGAAAUACACAUAUAUGCUGAGAAAGGGCCUGAACCCAUUGAAGUUGUGUCUUUGGAUGAAUAAUUAUUGUACAAGAAAGUGACUGGUGAUAGCUUACUUGCACUUCCAUUUCGUGAUAAUUGGCAAUUGGUGUGUUCAGAUUGGAUUAUCCGCAUUUGUUAAAGGCAGUGAUAACUUUGACCCUACAGUUAUUGGGAAUGAGUACAAUAAUGAUAUUUCACAUAUUAACUAUAGAAGAAAAGGCAUCUGUGAUGAAGUGUCAUCACAAAUGGAGUUGGAUCCAAUUUUUGUGGGACCACAUAGAGAGCAGAUACAUGAUUAAACUAAUAAAUCCAAGUGGAAGAAAACAAUAAAUGGUAAAAAAACUGAGUGGCAAAGAGUAAAAUUAACUGCAAGGAAGUUAGUCCGCAGUUAGUUAAAGAGAAGGAAAAAGUUGAUACAACUACAGAGGUCUAGCAGUCUCCCAAGAAAUUCAGCAGAAGAAACAACAUUUGGGACAGAUCCAACAGAAGAAACAACUAAUUUGAGGGAGAAAAAUAGCUGAUGAAGGUGGAGAAAAGAUGAUGUCGUACCAGACUAUUUAGAUCUCCCGGACUGGCUAAGAGAAGGACUAGAAGGGCCUAAAGAUUAUGAUAUAUUUGCAGGCUUAAAUGGUCAAGAAUCAACACAGGCAUCUAUUAAUUCAGGAUCUAUAAAUUUUGUUAGAGUUGGUUCAGAGUAGCAACAAGAAAAUUAGCAAGCCAAAGCUAGAAAACAAGUGGUAUAGAUCAACAACAAGAAAAUUAGCAGGCCUAAUCCAGAAAACAAACUAGUUCAGAGCAGCAACAACAACAUCAGCAAUCGAAAUCAAGAAAACAAGCAAAGAACCAGACCCAUGAAGAGAGGAGUCAACAACACCAGGUGUGGAUGAUAGAUGCCGUGUCAAUGAGCAGGAAGAGAACUGGAAUGACCUAGUAAAGGAUGAUGAAAAGCUAUUUGACAAUGGGAUAAGAUCUGAUGAAGAAAGCAUCCCUGUUUAUAGUUACUUCAAUGCGGAGAAAAAGUUUAGGAAAGAGCACUUUGAACUAAAGGUUUGACAGAAAUUUACUAGCUUCUCCAAAUUUAGGGAGACUUUAGAGGAGUGGGAAAUUAGGGAGGGUAUGAGCACAAAUACAUCAGAAAUGAAGGCUCUCGAAUCACAACUAAAUGUGCGAAGGGGUGCAGUUGGAGAAUUCAUGCAUGCAGAAUCCAGAGAACAAAGACUUUUAUGAUCAAAACUCUUAAGCGAGAGCACCAUUGUGGUAGGGAUUAUGCAAUAGACAUGCUACUUCAACAUAUCUAAGUGAAAAAUUUCAGGCCAAGGUGAGGGAUGAUUGUGGGUGCAGUACUCCAGGCAUAGUAAAUGAGACAAGAAGACUGUUUAUGUUAGACAUUAGUGGGAAGAAAACUGCCAGAACAAAGCAGAAAGCAUUAGAGGCACUUAGGGAAAAUGACAUGGAGCAAUAUCACAGGCUUUGAAAUUGUGUAGCCACUGUAAAAAAGUCCAAUCCUGAUACUCAUAUUUCACUGCAGAUUGAUAGGCAAAGUGUUGAGGAAAAAGCUACAUUUCGGAGAUAUACUAUGGAUUAGGUGCUCUGAAGAAUGGUUUUUAGAAGGUUGCAGACCUAUAAUAGGACUAGAUGGCUAUUUCCUAAAGUCCCUUUGGAGGUUAGCUGCUUACAGUCAUGGGUAGGAAUGCCAAUGAAAACAUGUUUCCUAUUUCCUUUGCUAUUAUUGAGGUAGAGAACUAUGACAACUGAUAAGUGACUAAUUUACGUAAUAAUUGGAUGAUAUUUUAUAUUAUUUUUAGUCACUUUGGUUAUAUUAUUGGAAGAAAAUGAAUCAUUUUGGCUAUAAUUGGUGAAAAAUGCUUUUAAGUAAUUAAAUGAAGUUUUUAUCAUUUUUUACUUGGAUUUUGUGCAUUUUGACAGUUUUGACAUAUUUUUGUAUUUUGGCUAUAACUUGAGCUACAAUGAUCGGAUUGAGAGAAUUCUUAAACCAAUUUGAAGAUAAGAGAUAGAUCUACAACUUUGGUGAAGACAUCUGAAUCCAGUUUGAAGGUUUUCCAGGUCAAAAAGCCUAAUUACAGUAGCUAAUUUCCAUUGAUCGAAGCUGAAACAGAGCAAUGAGCAGUCAAGGGUUUUGGUCAUUUUGCAGCCUACACAGAUCCAAAUGAGGUGAUUCUUGAUGCAUUGGAAAUUAACUCAAGGGGCUACAAGUUUAUGUUUUGGUCAAAGGCUAAAUCAGCUUUUAUCAUCAAGAAAAGUUCAGUUGAAGUUGAUGCAAAAGGGAGCAGAGCUGGAAAUUGAACAAAAGUGCACCAAAAUGUCACUGUAGUAAUCCGGCCGGAACUUGGCUGGAUUUGUGGCCGGAUUUGUGGCCGGAUUGUGUCAAAGAAGGCUGCUCUUUACGCGGAAAACUCAAUUUCACCUCUACUAAGUCACAUGUAAUACUAGACAUGUGAGAAACAUUACCAGCUGUAAAAGGGAAGUGUAGGCCUCAUUUUCUUGACUUCCUUUGUCUUGAAAUAGUCAAAUCUUGCAAGCAGAAUGGGAUCAUCAUAUGGGAGAAUAGAGAGACAUACGGGAGAAACUUGGAGUCUGCAAAAAUGUAAUUCUUCCAUUUUCCUUAGUGUAGGAUAGUUUUAGUUUUAGACAGUUUAUCCUUUCUUGUAUGUUAGCUACAUGAAGAGGAAGAUGGAGGAUGAAGAAGGCAAGAAAUGAACUCAUGUGACAAGGGUUACAUUCCUUCCAAACUCUUUAUCUUUUGUACUUGAUUUUAUUGUUUAGUUAAUAUACAAGUCUGGAUUUUAUGUUAUUUAUGUGUCUCUAAAAUUUAUGCCUUGGGUUUGGUUGAACUUCUUAUAAUUGUUAGUGUUUAUUAUUUGACUAUUUGAUUGCUAUGAUUUGAGCAAGUUAUUUAGUACUUUAGCUCUUUAAAAUCAUGAUUAAUCUGGUAUCAUUGAUUGUGAUUAUCUAAGGUGUCGUUUUUGCAAUGAAAAUUGAGAUUUAAUACUAUUUCAAGAAGUGCUAAACAUAGGGAGUACACUCACGAAAGUAGAGGUGCACCUAUGUGGUUUUUAGUGAUUCAUUUCAUGUAAUUCACUGAAGAAAUGAACUUGUAGCUAAUUUCAUAACCAUGAGAAUAGGUAUGGAUUAGUUAUAAGUAUAAUUGAUUCACUACGAAAGUAGGAUUCAAAUGCAUAAGGAAAUUACACCAUAACUAGCAAAGAUGUAGUACUCAAUGAUCCAAAUAUAGCACUUGCAUGAGUAGUUAGGGAUACCACAACCUAAGGAGCAUUUUUUUUUUUUUGUGUAAGCAGGAGGAUUCGAACCUGAGACCUCUUGCUUACACUCCCUCCCCCCAUACCACCCAACCCAACCCUCCCCCCACAACCUAAGGAGCUUUUAUUUGUUAUUUUGUAUAAUUUCAGUAGGUUAAAUUUGUUAUAAUUCAUUGAUAGUCUAAAUAAUAGAGAAGCUUUAGUAAUACCGGUAAUUGUUCACUCUUCCCUGUGGGAUCGACCCAAUAUAUACCCUAAACUACUAGUUGACCUGUAUACUUGCAGUGAACGGGUGUAAUUCGAUUUUUUUAACUUGUACGUAUAUUAAAAUCCCGUCAACAACUAGAGCUAGUUUUUGAGAGAAUUAAUCACCCAAAUUGGAGAAGGAAACAAAGGAAUGGCUUACACUUUCAUUUCGGAUAGGCAAAAGGGUCUUGUCUAUGUAAUUGAGGCAUUGUUCCCUGAAUUAGAGCACAGAUUUUGCCUAAAACACAUGUUCGAGAACUGCAAACAAAGAUUCAAGAAUCAAAACCUUUGAGACAUGUUCUAGGAAGUUGCUGCAGUAGCAAGUAUGCCAGAGUAUGAAACUGCCCUAUCAAAUCUUGAAAGGGUUGACCCAAAGGAAGGUGACAAACUAACAAUUGCAGGAUGGUUCAAACGGUUGCCUCUAAAGCUUUGGUCCAGAGCCCACUUUAGUACUAUUUGUAGAAGUGACACGUGCAUCAACAACAUUAGUGAGUCGUGGAAUAAUUACAUUCUAAAGGCUAGAGGUGAGCCAAUAAUAACAAUGCCGGAGUAGAUUCGGAGGAGAUUAAUGCAAAGGUUGGUAACCAAGCGAGAGGGCAUGCUGAAAUAUAGUAGCACUUUAUGUCCAAACAUUCACGAGAAGUUAGAGAAACUGAAGAAAAAGCAAGAAACUGUGUCGUGGUUUAUGGAGGAAAUAGGAAUUUGGAAGUUGAUGGCUAUGGAAGGACUAAUGUCAAUUUGGAUAUGAAGACAUGUACUUGUAGUCAUUUUCAACUUAGUAGAAUUCGAUGGGUGCAUGUGGCUGCUUGCAUUCAAAGCAGAAGGUUGGAAUUCGAGCAAUUUGUUGAUGCUUGUUACUAUAGGGAAGCAUAUUUAAGGGCCUAUAACUUCACAAUUGGUCUUGUUCUUUCGAAGCAGUUCUAGGUGGAUAGCAAAAUGCAGUAUUUGAACCCGCCAUUGGUGAAAAAUCAACCUAGUAGGCCAAAGAAACAGAAGAAGAAGGGUCCAAAAGAACCUACAAAUCAGCAUAAAGCAAGUAAGAACGGGUCUGGCAGUCUACUGGCCGAGGUGUUUGAAAUUUAGACAUAACAUUAGAACCUGCAAGUCAGCAAUUCACCCUAAGUCCAAGCUUUACAAGAUAAUGUAACAUUUCAGAACCAAAUCAUUUCUCUAUCUUGUUUUGUUGCUGCUUAUACAUCCAGCCAUUUCGAUGUGAACUAUAUGCACCUAAAUGUGGUCUAAUAGUUUCAAAUGCAACAUUCCGGCUUCUGUAGCUCAGGCUAGUGUCGCAAGUACUACUGCUACUACUCUUUCACAGGUACUAGUUCUCAAUUGCCUAUUUUUGGGUAUUGUGACCUGCUUACACACUAAGCAGUGCCACUUAUAAGCAGGAACCAAGUUAGCCUAUAAGUGGUACCAAUCAAGAAAGCUAGAAGAGUAAAUCUUCAAAGAGGAAGCAACCAGCUACAGGAAUGUCAAGAUUGCAACAUUGUGGCUCUAAGAGACCAAAAAAAUGAACUGUAGUUAUCUCUCUUUUGUUUUUUGAAUAUACUGGUUAUGUUAACCACAUUGAUCCCUUCUGGGAUUGAAUCGUAAUAUUUAUUGAAACUAGAAAACUCAGAUUUUGGUUAUGUUUUGGUAGAUUGAUACCAUUAUGGUAUGAAUGUAGUAAUAUGCUUCAUUUUUAUGGCAUUCGUGGCAGUAUUGCUGGUGACCCUUUUUGGGAUUGGAUUAUAAUAUUUACUGAAACUAAAAAACUCAAAAUUUGGUUUUAUUAUGGUAGAUUGAUACCAUUGUGGUAUGGAUGUGGCAAUAUGCUAAUUGUGACAGCCCCACCUUCCCCUAAGGCGAACUAAAGAGGUUAGCGGACUGCCUGCCCAACUCUCGCCAGGACUAACGGUGCAGUAUAAAGCGAUCUAUCACGUUCUGAAACUUAUAAUGCGCGCAACAAGGCAAAAGGGCAAAAUAACCCAAAAUAAAAGAAAUGAAAUCCAAAAUCCGCCAUGAAUAGUAACCGACCCGUCCGAAACCCAACCAAACAUCGAAAUACAUAUACAACAUAACAUUAACCAUUUACAAGCCACAAUGGCCUUUAAAAGUGAUACAAAAGUCACUACAUAUGUGGGUUGCCAAAACAAAAGUGAAAACGGCCCUAAUGAUACAUUUAGGGUCCCAUUUUAUAUACAAUACAAAAGAGGCAUUCAUCUAGUUCAUUCGGCAACCAUUUUACAAAAUUCAUUCCAAAAGAGUCAUAUUCCUGUAAGGAAAACAAAAGAAACGGGGUGAGCUAAAUGCCCAAUGAGAAUACAACCACCACAGCAGCUAAGAUCACAUAAGCAUAACCGUUCAGUUCAAGUAUGCAAAUAAGCAAUAAAUCACAUCAGUGAAAGGAUACGGACGGCUCUCAAGAGCCCAUUUCCACGCUUAUUUCUUGAUCCAACUUCAUUGACCCUCCAUCAAUGUUAAAAGUAACCAUCCGUAGACAUCACUUACAUCCAACCGUCCAACUAUCAUACCCCAACCGGGCCAGCACUCCAUUCAGUCAUUUUGGUAAUACUCGAGUUUACCGGAAUCAAGAGUCUCAUUACUACAAGAUUUCCCAGUACAGUCCCCGUGGCAUGUCAAUUAUCACGACCAAGCCCUCGCCGGCUCGAUCCAAUUGACUACCUAACGGAGUUGAGCUCAGUGAUACAGUAAGGUCGUUGGACAUUCGUCCAAACAACACCAAAUCAGUUUCCAUGAAAUGGAAUGCAAUAACUCAUAUAUCAACUUCAGUAAGACAGUGAAACAGUAGACAAUCAGUGAUACUAUCAAAAGGAGUGAGGGCGGUCAAGUACACCCUCACCUUAAUCAAUUACAAUAUCCAAAUAAGCCUUCAAGGCAACACAACCACAUAUAGCAAAGCCACAUUACAACAUUUAAAUGAGUAGUAUACUCACCAAUCACGUAAGUGAUAUUUCAUGCACCAACGUUAAAAAGGUCGCCGUGAACCCUCGUCACGUCCUAGAACACAUAAACAAAGACCAUGAGACUCGAUAACUAGUCAUAAAGCCAUACCAAUUAUAACCCCAAUAGGGUUUCAUAUGCAUAAAUAAGCAUCAUAGGUAACCAGAAAUUAAGAAAUGGCAUUAGCUUAGGCCUUAACAAAAAAAACAGUUUUCGUCAUACUUUUGCGGUAAUGGCACAAAAUGUGCUAUGCUUAUCGGAUGAGGGUGUAAGACCCACCAUCUCGAAGCUAAAAGACAGGGCUACAACAAUGUAGAAGGCCACUCAGUCCAAAUCCUAGUACAACUAGGUCAAAAAUGCAGAUUACCAAACCAGAACCGCAAUUGCAGGUUCCCAAAUCGUACUAUGCUGUAAUUAGUCUAUUUCAGUCUACACAAGUCCAAAUUCAUUGAUUCCAAAGGCAUAUGAUAGCUAAGACAUCCAGCUACAUUUCAUCAGAAGACACCAACAACAAAAUCCAAACCAAUUCCAGUCAAAAUGGCCAAUUACUUGUACAGUUUUCGCAUUCUGAUCAACCCAGAACAGCAACAGUAAAAUCGACAUAUCUCACUCUACACUAAUCCAAAUGACCUGAAAUUUUGCAGGCACUUCAAACUCAUCAAUACCUACAACUUUCAUGUUUUGAGCAAAGUCUAUUUCGGCCUCUAACCCUAUGAUCCAAAACCGGACAGAAUUAGGGGUUUUGAAACCCUAACAUUUCACAUUUCAAUCCAAAUCCAAAAUUGGUUGCAAAUAUCAACAAUUCACAUCCACUAGAGUCAUAACCCCUCAUUAUCAACCAUCAUAAACAACCACAACACCAUGAUCACAUUAAACCAGAAAAUUCCUCAAAAAAAUAAAAACUUCACUAAAUCACUUCAAAUCAAGAAAUAAAUCACAAAAGGCUUCACUAUCACUACCAUUAGGCACAAUUUAAGCAUCAUUAGGUGUAAGGGAAUAGUCAAUCAUCACUUACCUAAGAAAAAAGAUAAGAGGAGUUGUAGACCACCUUAGCUCUUCCAAAAACUUCACCAAACUCAACCACCACCAAAUGGAAAAGUUGUAUGGAAUGGAAACUAGUUUAUGUGAUUGAUUUAGAUGAUUCAAGCUAGUGGAAAGCUUGAAGUUGGAAGAGGUUUUUCUCCUUCUUUGUUAGAGAGAGAGGGCCGGCUAUGGAGAAGAAAAAAAUGAGGAAAUUUUAGUGAAUUUUGGAGAUAUUUAACUAAAUGGGUCAAAAGGUCAAAAGUGGAAUAGUAACUCUUAAACUUCAACCCAUAAAAUGGUGACACUUGUCACACCAUUAAUGCAAUCUUAUCACUUCUUUUUCUCUCUCACAUCAAUCAUUUCACACACUCUACUUAUCUCUUAACACCCGAUAAAUUUUACACAGUAUCCGGAAUUUAACCUAAUUGGCCGAAUUUUUUCCGAACUUUUCGCACUAGUGGGUCCCACGUCCAAUAUAUAUUCUUAAUUUUCUAAAAAUUCUCCAAUACUAGAAAAAUCAUCUAAAAACUAUAAUUACUCAUAAAAUUCACCAGGAAAAUAUUCCUAAGCCAGAAAAUGCAGAAAACAUGCAAUUAAGGGGAAAAACCCUAGGAAAAAUAUUAGGGAAAUACGGGUUCUCACACUCUCUCCCUCUUAAAAAAAUUUCGUCCUCGAAAUUUCUCACCUUAAUUUCUGAAAAGGUUUGGAUACUUCUUUCGCAUUUCCUCUUCCACUUCCCAGGUAGCUUCCUCUACUCCGUGGUUUCUCCAUAGCACUUUCACUAGUGGAAUCCGCUUGUUUCUGAGCUCUUUGACUUUCCGAUCAAGCACUUGGACCGGUUUUUCUUCAUAGGCAAGCGAUUCGUCUACUUCGAUCUCCUCCGGUUGUAAGACAUGGGAUGGGUCAGGAUGAUACUUCUUUAGCAUCGAGAUGUGAAACACAUCGUGGAUUCGAGAGAGACUGGAUGGCAGUUCCAGUCGAUACGCGACCGAUCCAACCCUCUGAAGGAUCUUGUAGGGUCCGACGUACCGCGGUUGAAGUUUCUUUCCUUUGCCCGCUGUAAGACUUCGUAAGGGUGUGAUAUUGAGAAAUACGUAGUUUCUAACUUCAAACUCCAAGUCUUUUCUUCGAUUAUCAGCGUAGAUCUUUUGUCGGCUUUGAGCUGUUUGGAUUCGUUGCCGUAUCAACUUGACCUUCUCGUGAGCCUCUUCCAUCCAUGGAAUAGUUGCCGGGUCUAACGUCUUCGUUUCACCAAUUUCAUCCCAAUAAAUCGGCGACCGGCACUUGCGUCCGUAUAGGGCUUCGUACGGAGCCAUUUGAAUCGACGAAUGGAAGCUAUUAUUGUACGCAAACUCUACCAAGGUCAUGUGCUGACCCCAGUUGCCUCUAAAGUCUAGAAUGCACGUUCGUAGCAUGUCCUCGAGAGUUUGAAUUGUCCGUUCUGACUGGCCAUCCGUCUGAGGAUGAUAGGUCGUGCUCAAAUUGAGUUUAGUCCCCAGGGUUUCUUGAAACUUCUACCAAAAUCGAGACACAAACCGUGGAUCCCGAUCGGAGACGAUGCUUACAGGAACACCGUGUAGUCUUACUAUCUCAUCCAUGUACAGUCGGGCCAACUUGUCCAUUGAAUACUUCAUGUUUACUGGCAAGAAAUGAGCCGACUUGGUUAAUCGAUCAACGAUCACCCAAACGGCGUCAUGUCCUCUUUGCGUCCUCGGUAAACCUGAAACAAAGUCCAUUGUGAUAUUCUCCCAUUUCCACUCGGGUAUCUCCAAGGGUUGUAACAGACCCGACGGUUUUUGAUGCUCUGCUUUCACCUGUUGGCAAAUGAACAUUUCUGCACGUACUGAGAGAUUUCUUUCUUCAUAUUGUCCCAGCAAUAAGUUCCUUUCAGGUCUUGAUACAUCUUGCUGCUGCCCGGAUGGAUUGUAUACUUGGACCGAUGAGCUUCCUCCAAAAUUUCCAUUUUCAUCGACUCUUCCUUCGGUACCACUAUUCGAUUUCGAUAUUUCAAAAUGCCCUCAAGACUCAAAUUGAUGUCCGUAGUUUCUCCCUUUUCCAUUUUCUCUCUCCACUUCUGUACCAUCAAAUCUUCGUUUUGCGCCUCUUUAAUGCGUUCCAGUAGAGUGGAGGUCACCCUAACAUUGACAAAUACCACCUUAUGGCUCCCAAGACAGGGUCUCCACUCACACACGGAUUCUAAUAAAUCACACUCCUUAAUCAUCAAUCCUGCUACUUGCACCUUACAACUCAAAGCAUCUGCUACCACAUUUGCCUUUCCCCGAUGAUAGUUGAUUGUGCAGUCGUAAUCUUCCAGGAAUUCCAUCCACCUUCGUUGCCUCAUGUUCAAUUCCUUCUGGGAGAAAAGGUACUUAAGACUUUUGUGAUCCGAAUACACUUCGAAGGUCACCCCAUAUAGGUAAUGCCUCCACUUUUUCAGUGCAAAGACCACUGCGGCUAGUUCCAGAUCGUGAGUCGGGUAGUUCUGCUCGUGAAGCUUCAAUUUCCUAGAGGCGAAAGAAAUCACAUUCCGGUUCUGCAUCAACACGCACCCCAAUCCUUCUCGUGACGCGUCUGCAUACACCGCAAACCCGUCCACUCCAUUUGGCAAAACUAGCACUGGAGCCAUGGUCAAUCUUCUCUUUAGUUCCUGAAAACUUGUUUCGCAUCGGGCGUUCCAGACAAAUCCUCCAUGCUUCUUUGUCAGGUCAGUUAAAGGUCCCGCCAGUUUGGAAAAAAUCCUUAAUGAACCUUCGGUAGUACCCAACUAACCCUAGAAAGCUGCGAAUUUCCGUGGGGUUUUCUGGCCUCUUCCAAUUUGUCACGGCCUCUACCUUCGCCGGGUCCACAGAAAUACCUUCGUGGGAGAUCACGUGCCCUAGAAACGCUACUUUCUCCAACCAGAACUCGCAUUUACUAAACUUGGCGUACAGCUGAUGUUCCCUCAAUAUCUGCAACACCACUCUCAAAUGCUCCUCAUGCUCCUCGCGUGUCUUAGAGUAGACCAGAAUGUCGUCAAUGAACACAACGACAAAUCGGUCCAGAUAGGGUUUGAAAACCUGGUGCAUUAGGUCCAUGAAGGCGGCGGGAGCAUUUGUCAGUCCAAAGGGCAUAACGGCGAACUCGUAAUGCCCGUAUCUUGAGUUGAAAGCAGUUUUCGGAAUGUCCUCCUUCCUAAUCAACAACUGAUAGUAUCCCUGCCGGAGGUCCAACUUGGAGAAGACCACUGCUCCUUGCAGCUGGUCAAACAACUCGUCGAUGUGAGGCAGUGGAUACUUAUUCUUGAUGGUUACGUUGUUCAGCCCCGGUAAUCAAUGCACAUCCUCAAGGUUCCGUCCUUCUUCUUCACAAAUAGAACAGGAGCCCCCAAGGAGAUCCACUCUCGUGAAUGAAUUCCCGCUCCAAAAGAUCUUGUAAUUACAACUUAAGUUUUGCAGGCGCCAUUCGGUAAGGGAUUUUUGAGAUAGGUGAGGUUCCAGGUAAUAGAUCUAUUCGGAAUUCUAUCUCCCUUUCCGGAGGUAAGGCUACUAACUCAUCAGGAAAAACAUCCGGAAAUUCCCUCACUAUGGCCACGUCUUCCACUUUUAAUUAUCCGUAGGGGUGUUAAUCAAAAAGGCCAAAAAUCCUUGCGCCCCUCUACUUAUCAGUUUCCUAGCCCGUAUGCCCGAGAUUAAAGCAGAUGAGACUAACCUACCCCUUAUAUCUAACUUUAAGGUUGCCUCGCCAGGAAUGCGAAAUUCUACUACCUUCGUUUUACAAUCCAGUUGGGCGUUAUAUUUGGCUAGCCAGUCCAUACCCAGAAUCACGUCAUACCCCUUAAUGGACAAGCUAAUAAGAUCUCCUAAAAAUCUCUUUUCACUUACCCAUACAUCGCAGUCCCUAUAAACCAUACUAGUCACCAACCGUUGAUUCCCCGUAGGUGUACUAACCUCUAGGUCAUAUGGUAAACUAGCAGGUUUUAUAUCGAUGCCACACAUGAAAUCAGGGUUAACAAACGAAUGAGUGGCACCAGGAUCAAUUAAAACUUUGGCAAAACGGUGGAAAAUAGGGAUCGUACCUUCUACGACCUCCGAAGACUCUGGGACCUGAUGGGGCUCUAUAGAGUACACCUUAGCUGGUACUUUAGGUUUGGACCCAUCUCCCUUGGCUGGUCCAGUAUUGGUCCUCGAUGAUGGUUGGCUCCCCUUUCCGUCUUGUUUCAGGACCGGGCAUGUAGCCAAUUGGUGGUCCGCGCUUCCACAUCGCAGACAUUUGCCCUAUUUCCUCCAGCAAUUAUUUUCGGUGUGGUUUGCUUUUCCACAAUGCCCACAGGGACCACGGGGUGCCAAAGCCGAGCCACUCUGAGCGUUUCCCCUUUGUCCUCGCCCAGUUUGACCACCCCUGAACGGAGUCCCUCUGCCUGAACCAGACUGUCGACACACCACCCGUUCCUCGUCCGAAUUUAGAUGGAGUAGUCUUUUCACCCUGUCCGGAAGUACUCCCAGGAAAGCCACGCUUCUUAGCCUGUAAGUUUCGGACCUGCAGCCGUGUACUUUCAACUCGUUGGGCUUUUUCCAUUGCCUCGCUAAACGUAGUGAUUUGAGCCGCCGCGAGGUUUUCUGGAUCUCAACGUUCAAACCCUGAAUAAAGCGCCUCACCCGUCGUUGCUCAGUCAUGAUUAGCUCAGCGCGAAUUUGGACAGGCGGGUGAACUGACUCUCAUAUUCCGCCACAGUCUGAGCCCUUGCCGGAGCCGGAUAAACUCGUCCUCCUUCCUCUCCUGGACUAGAGGAGGGAAAAACUUUACAUUAAAUUCUCGGAUGAAAUUCACCCAUGUCCUAGGCAUCUGCUCCCGCUCCCAUUUCUGUCUAAUUACGUUCCACCAGGAACGGGCAGCCCCCUCAAAUUGAAAUACGGUAAAAGUCACCUGCCGUUCGUCUGGGUAAUGUAGAGCUGCAAAUAUAUCAACCAUCUUCUCAAGCCAUUUCUCAGCAACGUCAGGGUCGGGUCCCCCAACAAACUUUGACGGGAAAAACUUUUGAAAACGUUCUAGAGCUCUAUCUUCGCUCUCAAUAUGAUGGCCAGGGUUUCCGGGGUUAGGGUUUGGGUUCUGGCCCUGUUGUUGCACUACUUGUGCUAGUAAAUUGGUCAUUUGCUGCAUAGCAGCAGCUAUUUGCACAUUCGGAUCUAUUUGCGGUCCAGGAUUGGGUCCAGUAGAGGUUUCCCUCGUUUCCCUAACCGGUGUGGGUUGUCUAGUUCCGCGCCCACGUCCCCGACCACUCCGUGUACCUUCCAUGAGUUUUAUUCGCGUUUAGGCAAGAAUACUAAACCAAAGUAGUAACAAGACAUAUAAGUAACACUUAAACUUUGCACAAUAACACAUAUUUAUACAGUCCAAGCAUAAUCACAAACACACAUACAUACAAGCCAAACACAUAUAUACAAUCAGUCAAGUCAAGUACGGCCAAAGCACGUACAAACACAAACGAUCCCCCGAGGAUUGGCCUAUCAAAAGAGAUUUACGCGUAGCUAACAACCCAAAACGGUUAGCUAAGGCUCUAUCCCUAUCCCUAUGUACAUACAAAAACCACCAACUAUCCAAAAGAUGCCUAAAGAUCAAGGCCUAGUCAGUCGCUGGGGUCUGGGAUCCAGGCGACAGGGUAGACUCUCCCCCGCCUCAGCCCCCGCAUACGAAGCCUCAUCACUAGACUCCUCAAGACCAUCGUCACACAAAUUAAGGAUCGCCUCAGCGCGACCCCUGACUUUGCGAGCCCGCGUAAUCUCGCGCUCGCGUGCAGUCCUCAGCUGAUCGCAGAGGUCGUCAACUCGGUCCUCGACCUCAAGCACGUCGUACUCUAACUCUUUGAUACGUGCGACUUGCUUCUCAUUGGUUGCCUUAACCUGAGUCACCUCAGCUUCCAGCGUAGCAACCCCGCUUCCAACUUAGUGUUGUCAUCCUCUAGCUCCUUACGCUCCUUUGCCACAGCCAAAACUAAGGCGUUCGGGUAAGCAUAAGUAUCACGGCACCACACCGUCGAAGGCGGUUGGCCGGGCUCCAACGCACCACGGCCCCCUUCUGCCUGAUCUGAUAUGGAAUCACGGGAAGUGCUCUGGGAGGUCUCACUCCCGAAGGACUAGCACUAGGGUCACCACUCGCAUCCAUCCUAUAGCAAAGGAAGAAAUGACAUGAAUACACUUAAUAGGCAUAAACAAUAGAAUCCUCAAGUCAAGCAUUCCUAUAACACCCAGGCUAAUUCAAACCUAGACUCUGAUACCACCUGUGACAGCCCCACCUUCCCCUAAGGCAAACCAAAGAGGUUAGCGGACUGCCUGCCCAACUCUCGCUAGGACUAACGGUGCAGUAUAAAGCGAUCUAUCACGUUCUGAAACUUAUAAUGCGCGCAACAAGGCAAAAGGGCAAAAUAACCCAAAAUAAAAGAAAUGAAAUCCAGAGUCCGCCAUGAAUAGUAACCGACCCGUCCGAAACCCAACCAAACAUCGAAAUACAUAUACAACAUAACAUUAACCAUUUACAAGCCACAAUGGCCUUUAAAAGUGAUACAAAAGUCACUACAUAUGUGGGUUGCCAAAACAAAAGUGAAAACGGCCCUAAUGAUACAUUUAGGGUCCCAUUUUAUAUACAAUACAAAAGAGGCAUUCAUCUAGUUCAUUCGGCAACCAUUUUACAAAAUUCAUUCCAAAAGAGUCAUAUUCCUGUAAGGAAAACAAAAGAAAUGGGGUGAGCUAAAUGCCCAGUGAGAAUACAACCACCACAGCAGCUAAGAUCACAUAAGUAUAACCGUUCAGUUCAAGUAUGCAAAUAAGCAAUAAAUCACAUCAGUGAAAGGAUACGGAUGGCUCUCAAGAGCCCAUUUCCACGCUUAUUUCUUGAUCCAACCUCAUUGACCCUCCGUCAAUGUUAAAAGUAACCAUCCGUAGACAUCACUUACAUCCAACCGUCCAACUAUCAUACCCCAACCGGGCCCGCACUCCAUUCAGUCAUUUUGGUAAUACUCGAGUUUACCGGAAUCAAGAGUCUCAUUACUACAAGAUUCCCCAGUACAGUCCCCGUGGCAUGUCAAUUAUCACGACCAAGCCCUCGCCGGCUCGAUCAAUUGACUACCUAACGGAGUUGAGCUCAGUGAUACAGUAAGGUCGUUGGACAUUCGUCCAAACAACACCAAAUCAGUUUCCAUGAAAUGGAAUGCAAUAACUCAUAUAUCAAGUUCAGUAAGACAGUGAAACAGUAGACAAUAGUGAUACUAUCAAAAGGGGUGAGGGCGGUCAAGUACACCCUCACCUUAAUCAAUUACAAUAUCAAAUAAGCCUUCAAGGCAACACAACCACAUAUAGCAAAGCCACAUUACAACAUUUAAGUGAGUAGUAUACUCACCAAUCACGUAAGUGAUAUUUCAUGCACCAACGUUAAAAAGGUCGCCGUGAACCCUCGUCACGUCCUAGAACACGUAAACAAAGACCAUGAGACUCGAUAACGAGUCAUAAAGCCAUACCAAUUAUAACCCCAAUAGGGUUUCAUAUGCAUAAAUAAGCAUCAUAGGUAACCAGAAAUUAAGAAAUGACAUUAGCUUAGGCCUUAACAAAAAAAACGUUUUCGUCAUACUUUUGCGGUAAUGGCACAAAAUGCGCUACGCUUAUCGGAUGAGGGUGUAAGACCCACUAUCUCAAAGCUAAAAGACAGGGCUACAACAAUGUAGAAGGCCACUCAGUCCAAAUCCUAGCACAACUAGGUCAAAAAUGCAGAUUACCAAACCAGAACCGCAAUUGCAGGUUCCCAAAUCGCACUAUGCUGUAAUUAGUCUAUUUCAGUCUACACAAGUCCAAAUGCAUUGAUUCCAAAGGCAUAUGAUAGCUAAGACAUCCAGCUACAUUUCAUCAGAAGACACCAACAACAAAAUCCAAACCAAUUCCAGUCAAAAUGGCCAAUUACUAGUGCAGUUUUCGCAUUCUGAUCAACCAGAACAGCAACAGUAAAAUCGACAUAUCUCACUCUACACUAAUCCAAAUGACCUGAAAUUUUGUAGGCACUUCAAACUCAUCAAUACCUACAACUUUCAUGUUUCGAGCAAAGUCCAUUUCGGCCUCUAACCCUAUGAUCCAAAACCGGACAGAAUUAGGGGUUUUGAAACCCUAACAUUUCACAUUUCAAUCCAAAUCCAAAAUUGGUUGCAAUAUAACAAUUCAGAUUCACUAGAGUCAUAACCCCUCAUUAUCAACCAUCAUAAACAACCACAACACCAUGAUCACAUUAAACCAGAAAAUUCCUCAAAAAAUAAAAACUUCACUAAUUCACUUCAAAUCAAGAAAUAAAUCACAAAAGGCUUCACUAUCACUACCAUUAGGCACAAUUUAAGCAUCAUUAGGUGUAAGGGAAUAGUCAAUCAUCACUUACCUAAGAAACAAGAUAAGAGGAGUUGUAGACCACCUUAGCUCUUCCAAAAACUUCACCAAACUCACCACCAACACCAAAUGGAAAAGUUGUAUGGAAUGGAAACUAGUUUAUGUGAUUGAUUUAGAUGAUUCAAGCUAGUGGAAAGCUUGAAGUUGGAAGAGGUUUUUCUCCUUCUUUGUUAGAGAGAGAGGGCCGGCAAUGGAAGAAAAAAAUGAGGGAAUUUUAGUGAAUUUUGGAGAUAUUUAACUAAAUGGGUCAAAAGGUCAAAAGUGGAAUAGUAACUUAAACUUCAACCCAUAAAAUGGUGACACUUGUCACACCAUUAAUGCAAUCUUAUCACUUCGUUUUCUCUCUCACAUCAAUCAUUUCACACACUCUACUUAUCUCUUAACACCCGAUAAAUUUUACACAGUAUCCGGAAUUUAACCUAAUUGGCCGAAUUUUUUUCGAACUUUUCGCACUAGUGGGUCCCACGUCCAAUAUAUAUUCUUAAUUUUCUAAAAAUUCUCCAAUACUAGAAAAAUCAUCUAAAAACUAUAAUUACUCAUAAAAUUCACCAGGAAAAUAUUCCUAAGCCAGAAAAUGCAGAAAACAUGCAAUUAAGGGGAAAAACCCUAGGAAAAAAUAU